CCUUCAAGUCACCUCCUUCUAUAUGGAUGGACCAGCCCUUAGUUGGUACCAGUGGAUGUACCGGAACAACCAGAUUCGAUCAUGGUUUGGGUUUCUUCGUGCCCUGGAAACACGUUUCGCGCCGUCACUCUAUGGUGAACCUUCUGAUGCUCUAUUCAAACUCACACAGAAGGGGACAGUCCAACAAUAUCUCACAAAGUUUGAACGACUCGCAAAUCGGAUAGUGGGUUUACCUGCCCCAUUUGCCCUGAAUUGCUUCAUCUCUGGCUUAACCCCAGAAAUUCGCCGCGAGGUUCAAGCCCUCCGUCCCGCCUCUUUGGAUCACGCGUUCCAGCUUGCCAAGCUCUAAGAAGACAAGAUUGAGGAAUGUUGUCGUUCCUUUCGCCCUAAAAGCCAACUUCCGACAACCACUUUAAAUACUGCGUUACCAGCUGCCACUGCAUCACUGGCCCUCCUGCUGCCACCCCAACCCCAUGUCAACUUUCUCCGCCUCAGUCCAGAAGACAUGGCCGCUCGUCGGGAAAAGGGUCUUUGCUAUAACUGCGACGAGAUCUUCACCCGUCCCACCGAUGCAAGGGGAAAUUUUUUCUUUACACUACAUAAGACCCCAUCGCAGAUGACUUCACACCGGAACCUCCCUUGAUCCUGGAUCUACCUUCUCCAACGCCAGUUGCUGACGGACACCCUUCUCAGGUCAGCCUCCAUGCUUUCACCGACGGUGUUGGUUCAUCCACCAUACGUCUCCAAGGGCAAAUCGGCAACAACCCUGUUUCUAUUCUCGUUGAUGGUGGUAGUGACCACAACUUUAUUCAAGACCGGGUAGCCAAAUUCCUAGAUCUCCCUUCAAUCCCAUACAACCCACUGACCGUUAUGGUUGGUAGCGGCAACCUCCUACGUUGUGACCGCCUUUGCCUUAAGGUCGAAAUCAAAAUUCAGGAGCACAUCCUCUAGGUUAAUUUCUACAUUCUUCCUCUGAGAGGUGCUGAUAUCGUUUUGGGCACGCCCUGGCUCAAAUCUAUUGGGCCUGUUCUCAUGGAUUAUGCCCAACUUACAAUCUCAUUUAACCACCAAGGCCAACCCAUCUUAUUACGGGGCAUCAAACACAGUCACACCGACCCAAUAUUUAGCCCACAACUGAAACAAUGCAUCCAAACUAAUAGUGCAUCUGAACCCUUCGCCAUACAAAUCAUACCCAUCCAUGAACCUACACCAACAAAAUCACCGCUUCCCACCACUUCUCUACCACCUGACAUCACGAACCUUCUCCUCCGUUUUGACCACCUCUUCUAAUCACCAUCAUCAUUACCUCUCUCUCGCCCAACUGACCACCAUAUCCACCUCUUACCCAAUUCUACACCGGUAAACGUCAAGCCCUACUGUUACCCUCAUUCCCAGAAAUGCGAACUUGAAAAACAAGUCAAAGAAUUGCUCGACAAAGCCAUGAUCCAACCAAGUAGGAGUCCGUUCUCUUCACCUGUCCUACUAGUUCGCAAGAAGGACGGGUCCUGGCAUUGUUGUGUCGAUUACCGGGCUCUUAACGCCGUCACUGUUCGUGACCGCUUUCCAAUGCCUACCAUUGAUGAGUUGUUGGACGAGCUCAGUGGUGCCACAUGGUUUUCCAAACUCGACCUUUGCCAAGGUUUCCAUCAAAUAUUGAUGCAUCCUGAGGAUAUUGCUAAGACAGCCUUUCGUACUCACCAAUGACAUUAUGAGUACCGAGUGAUGCCCUUUGGGCUCUGUAAUGCACCGAUAACGUUCCAAGCUACUAUGAAUACCCUCCUCGGCCCAUUUCUCAGUCGAUUUGUUGUUGUAUUUUUUGACGACAUUCUUGUUUAUAGUUCGUCCCUCUCACAACAUGUUUCUCAUUUGGAACAGGUCUUUCAAUGUUUGUUGGAGAACAAGUUCUACCUCAAACUCUCGAAGUGCUUAUUUGUCCAAAGACAAUUGGAAUAUCUGGGACAUAUUAUUUAUGUUGCAGGGGUUCAACCUGACCCUUCCAAGAUACAAGCAGUGCUGGCUUGGCCUCCUCCCUCCAACGUCAAGGCUCUCCGUGGUUUUCUUUGCCUUACUGGUUUUUACCGAAAAUUUGUCAAAGGUUAUGCCAAUAUUGCCUCCCUCCUUAUGUCUAUACUUCGUAAAGAUGCUUUUGCCUGGACUCCAGAAGCUCAACACGCAUUUGACGAUCUCAAGGUAGCCAUGACCCGUGCACUAGUUCUUGCCUUGUCGGACUUCUCGGUUCCUUUCACUGGGGAUACAGACGCGUCUGGCAUAACUAUGGGUGCCAUUUUAAUGCAACGCAAUCAGCCAAUUGCGUUUUUCAGUAAACCAUUCAGCCCCAAACUCCUCCAUUCAUCCACUUACGUCCGAGAAUUACACGCUAUUACUUCAGCUGUCAAGAAAUGGUGUCAAUAUCUGUUGGGGUACCCAUUUGUUAUCAAUACAAAUCAUAAAAGCCUCAAAGAGAUUUUGUCCCAGGUUAUACAAACUUCUAAACAACAAUAUUACCUUUCUAAGUUACUGGGAUAUGAGUACACAAUCCAGUACAAGCCAGGAUCUCAUAACGUUGUUGCAGAUGGUCUCUCUAGACUCCCCGACUCCUCUGGCAUGUGUUAUACCCUUUCCAUGCCUAACUUCAUAUUUCUAGAGCAGUUGCGACAAUCAGUGGAAACUAGUUAUGUUUACACUACCUUACUCUCCGGCAUCCAAACUAUCCCUACUGCUCAUCCUGAUUAUACAUUGCACAAUGGGCUGAUUUUAUUCAAAAAUCAUUUAUGGUUGAAUCCUGAUAAUACAUUCUGACUCAAACUUAUUGAUGAAUAUCAUAGUACUCCAAUUGGUAGACACAUGAGCAUAACAAAAACUGUUACUCGAUUGUUAGCAAAUUUCUACUGAGAUGGCCUCCGUAAAGAAGUCAAAAUUUUCAUUCAACAAUGCUUUAUCUGUCAACAAGUGAAGUCUAGUACACACAAACCAAUUGGUCUUUUGCAACCUUUACCGAUACCUACAGCCAUAUGGGAAGAUUUAUCCCUUGAUUUUAUAACUGGUCUACCAUCUUCUCAAGGUUUCACAGUUAUCUUGGUAGUGGUCAAUCGUUUUUCUAAGGGAGUUCAUUUGGGCCCUCUGCCACAACACUAUUAUGCUUCUAAGGUGGCUCAUUUAUUCCUUGAUAUCAUCUGCAAAUAUCAUGGCAUACCUCGCAGUAUUGUCUCUAAUCGCGAUCCCAUUUUCAUCAGUAAAUUCAGGCGCGAAUUAUUUCGCUUAUGUGGCACUCGCUUACGUAUAAGCACAUCAUACCAUCCAGAAACGGACGACCAAACAGAGGUUUUUAACAGGGUCUUAGAGCAAUACCUCCGUUCUUUCGUCCACUUCAAUCCCUCUCAGUGGUCUAAGUAUUUAGCUUUGGUGGAAUGGUCUUAUAACACUUCUAUACACUCUUCCACAGGCUAUUCUCCUUUCCAUAUCAUUUAUGGCAAGCCAGCCCCGUCCAUUCCCCAUUAUUUACUGGGAUCAUCAUCUGUAGAAGCUGUCGAUACAGUGUUGGCGUCACACCAAAACCUCUUAGCUCAAUUGCAGAGAAAACUCCUUAAAGCCCAGGCCACUAUGAAGCAUUAUGCGGAUCUCAAACGAUGUGAUAUGUCUUAUGAGGUAGGUGAUUUGGUUUAUGUUCGUCUCAGACCAUACCGACAACAAUAUCUUUCUGGUUUCUCUUAUCACAAACUUUCCAAAAGGUUUUAUGGUCCUUACAAAAUCCUGGCUCGAAUUGGUACAGUUGCUUAUCAAUUAGAUUUACCACCUGAGUCCAAAAUUCAUCCCGUCUUCCAUUGUUCUUUGUUGAAACGUCAUCAUGGCCCUAUCCCGGACCCUACUCCACUUCCUUUGGAGGCUUUCAAUCAACAACCAAUCAUUCGCCCUCUGGCAAUUUUGGACACUCGAAUGGACACAUCAACCGAUCCUCCAACCAAAAUGGUUCUCGUUCAAUGGCUCGGAUUAUCACCCGAUGAUACUAGCUGGGAAGAAUGGGAGCAACUACGUUCUGAUUAUCACCUUGGGGACAAGGUGAUUUUUCUAGAGGCGAACAUUGUUAGCAAUCAAACCAUAAGCCAAUUGAAUAAUGCAAGGCCCAAAAGGAUUACCACCACACCAGCCCAUUUGAAGGAUUAUGUCCCAUAAAAUCUUUCUGUUAGCAUAUUCUAGAAGAGUUAGGUCACACUUUCCUUUGCAUCAGAAUAAUUCAGUUAUGCGUUUUGGUAGAUUGUCUUUUGGUUUUUGUAUAUUUCCUUGCUCACCCAGAUCAGGAGGACCCUUUGAUUGUAACCAACUAGGAUCUGAAUAUUUCUUGUAAUUGGCUAUAUAUAGCCUUUCGUAUGAAUGAAAAAGGACUGGAAAUUCAAUCAUCUUUGUCUUCUCUCCUAUUCUGUUUCAGGGGCUCCCUUAGCCAUUAAUUAAGGAAGUGAAAUCUAAUAGAAAACAUCCUCCAUGGUCAUGGAUGCCGCAAGGACACGUGUCUCUCUCAAUGAUGCCGUGGACUAGCUCCUUAGCAUAGCGAGAUAACUUGUCGUGGGAAGAGAGAAAUUUGGCGUAUUUGAAAUACUAAAUAAAUUAAUUUAAAAUACAAUAAAUUAAUAAACUAAAAACUUAAAAAAAAAAUUAACGGAUGUGAUCACGUAUAACAUACCCGUUUAACUGAUAAAAUAAACUAAAUUUAAAAAUUAAAUAAAACAAAAAUCAAUUUAAAUAAUUAAUAAUAAUUAUUUCAUUAAAUAAAAUAAAAUUAAUUUACAUAAUUACCUAACAUAUUAUAAAAAAACUAAAUAUUUUAAAUACUAAAUAAAUUAAUUUAAUAAACUAAAAACUACAAAAAAAUAAAAAUAAAAAAAAUCAACCUUCAACAUAUGUGACAUAUUCCGUUAACUAAGAAAAUAAACUAAAUUUAAAUAAUCAAUUAAAGAAAACAAAAAUCAAUUUAAUUAAUUUAAUAAUAAUUUUUUCAUAAAAUAAAAUAAAAUAAAUUUACAUAUAAUUACCUAAUAUAUUAUAAAAAAACUAAAAAAUUUUAAAUUCUAAAUAAAUUAAUUUAAAAUACAAUAAUUUAAUAAACUAAAAACUAAAAAAAAAUAGCCUUCAAUGGAUAUGUAAUAUAAAAAAUCAAAUAAAAAAAUAAAAUUAUAUAUUCCUACGAAUGUGGCAUAUCGGUUAACACAUCCGUUUCAACUUAACAUUUUUUAACAAUAUUUAUAAUAUUAUUAAACAUAUGGAAAUAAAAUAAAAAAUACAAAAACAUAAAUAUAUAUCUACAAAUAAAAUAAAUUAUUAAAUCCAAAAUAAAAAAAAUAAAAUAAAAUAAAAUAAUCUAAAAAAAUAUAAAGAAUAAACUAAAAUAAUAAAAAGAAGUUAUCAUAAUCCUUUAACGGAUGUGAUAAUCUAUCGACAAAUAUCAACAUUCGUUAAAAGAUUACUAUAACUCCUUCCCACACUUGGGACGAAACUUUCCUAUACUACCUCUGGUAACCAUCACCACAAACACCAAACUCUGCCACUGCUGACUCCUUGCACCACUUGCAACCUUCCACCAAACAAAGCCCACCAUUACACACUUAGAGCACUACACACCCUCAGGGAGGACAAUGAAACAGAAGAAGAAGAAGAAGAAGAAGAAAGAAAGGAAUAGUUGAUUUUCGUGUGCAAAUUCGGUGUGGGGGUGCAUUCUUAUAAAAGGGGACCAUUAAUGUAAUUAAUGAAGUAGGUUAAUGUUGGUGAAAAUUCACUGCACAGAAAAUAAGAACAAAUUUGUUAUAGGGAGACAUAGGGAGUAGGGAUGGCAAAAAAAUCCGCGGGCACGGGUAUCCGCGGGUAAAACCCGCGGCGGGUAGUUACUACCCGCGGAUAUUUACUACCCGCGGGUAACGGGUAGCGGGUAUUUUAAUACCCGCUUCUAAACGGGUAGGGUACAGGUAGUAUACUAUCUGACCCGCGGGUAUCCGUUACCCGCAAAAAAUAAAUAAAAAAAUUAAUUUAUAUAUUUUUUAAUUAAAUUUAAUUAAAAAUAAAAUAAAAUUAUAUUUUAUUAGAUUAAAAUUNAUUAAAAUUAAAUUUUAAUUUAUAUUUAAUUUAAUUUAUAUUAUAUUAUAUAUAUAUUUUUGUUAUUUUAUUUAAAUUUUAUUUUAAAAAAUAUAAAACAUAUAUAUAUUUUUUUUUGCAAAUAUCUGCGGGUACCCGCGGAUUUUUAAAAUAUCCACGAGUAUUUUUUAAGCGAGUACCCGGCGGAUAGCGGGUCGGGUGGCGGGUAUACUUUUAUCCGGCGGGUCAGGUAGCGGGUAGACACUAUCCGUACCCGACCCGACCCCUUGCCAUCCCUAGGGAGUAUCCGAUGGUGGUGGAAGGAGUUGCUAUUAGAAAGAUUGAGUUUGUACAUUGAGUUUGUUCUUUGUACAAGUUAAUACAUUAGGCUAAUUCUUGUUUCACCAGUAUAGUAGAUGUUGUGAUGAUACCCUUUGAUAAUAUAAUUAGAAUCAUGCUUAUUUUUUUUACAGGUAAAUAGUUUAGAGAAAAUCUAUAGAGUGUAGGUGCAAUUUAAGCAUACUGUUUUGAUUUGGUUUUUUUUUUUAAAUGUCUAAUAUCAUAUUUAUGUAAAUUGUUUUACAAAUGUGUAAUUUUAAGCAACCCUAUUUUUAUUUUUUGCUUAUAUAAACUAGUUCUUUUCAAAUCAAAAAUACCAAUUUAAUUAUAUUUGGAAAACGAGUCCAAUCGAGUUUUGUGCCUCUAAUCCUUGCACGUGAAUUCCUUAACUCUGGCUACCCUGAACAUAUAAAAUAACUGUAUGUUUACAUAUAAUUUUUUUAAAAAAGAGUGAACUACGUGAGAUCCUUACUUUAGGAAUACACAAAUAAAUUCCACUUUGAACCAAAAUAUUCACAAAUGUUAAAUAAACGAAUGGAUGAUGAUGAUCAAUACAAAAUGCAUAAAUUUAACAAAUUUAUAAGCAGUUGUAUAUUAUUUAUAUAUUUUUAUAAAUAUAUUAAAUUUUUAAACUCAAAUUAUUUUCAAGUUGAUUCUAUUCAAAACUUAGAUAUAAAUUAAAAAUAUAUAUUUUUUUCAAUAUCUCUUUUAACAAGUACAGAAACUAACGAGUUUAAAACUAGUUAAAUAAUAAAAACAUUAAAAAAUUUAUCUAUGGUGCCGCUAGAUCUUAACCAAUGUAUUUCACACAUUUAAUUAUCUAAUUAAGUAAAACUAACUAAAUAAAACCACAUUAAUUAAGUGAACCAAUACAUUACGAAAUUAAACCUGGUUUAUUGGAUUUCUGGGUUAAACGAAUAAUUCCCAAAUACUAACUUAGGAUAUUUAAAUGGAUACUUACAAAUAAUGGAUAAAGGUUAAUUUAGUACAUACUUAUAAACAUAUCGAGUGCAGAUAUCACACAAUAUGUACUCGUAGGUAUCCAUUACAUGUAAAAAAUUAAAAUUAAAAUUUAUUUUAUAUUUUAUUAGGUUAAAUUUAAUUAAAAUUAAAAUAUAAUUUAUAUUUUACUAGCUAAUUUAAUUAAAAUUAAAAAUUUAACUCACAUUUAAUUUAAUUUACAAUCUAUUUAUAUUUUAUUAUAUUUUAUUUAAAUUUCAUUUUAAAAUUCUAUAGAUUAGUUUUUAAAAUAUUCAUGGUUAUCCGUGAUACCUAGACCUUUUUAACUUGGUCCCUUUACAUGGUUGACUCUAAUCCACAUGAGUUGAAGCAAGAAAAACCCAAAGGCCAAAGAGCUCAUAGGAUCAAAACCUUCAUUUUGAAUACAAGAAAAAAAAUGUAAUUAACUUCUAAUUUGUUACAAAUAUAAGUGUUUAUAACUUGUCAUAUAACUAUAUACAAAUAUUUUAAUCAGAUUAAAUAGACUUUAUAAGAGAUUUCAAUAAACUUGAUUGUUGGCUUAUAUAAGAAAAUUAUACAACAACAUAGGACGUUGACAUCUUUGACCGACUAAACAUAUCUAAUUUUCCUUGAUUGAGUAAAUAUAUUUUUAAAGUAUAUAAGACAUUCAUUUAAUUUUGUUGUACAAAAACUUCAUGUAUAUUGUCGCAACCGGAAUAUCGCGACGGGACGACGAUCCAAAAAGAUAAAACGAAUUUGAAAAAAAGAUUGGAGUCGCCACCAUAGUUUAUUCUGAAAAACUACGGAAAAACCAUAAAAUGAUAAGGCACGGUCCACGAAAACCAAAGAUUGGGUUCGGGAGUCGGUUACGUGUAGGGAAAGUAUCAGCACCCUACAACGCCUGCCCGAAGGCGGUACCUUUAAUCAAAUGCGCGAAUUUAAUGUGGUUUGCAAAAUGUUUAAUUUCCCCUAAAAAAUAAAACUCUAAAGAAAACAAAAUAUUUUUUUUAUGUUUUUUUGUGCCCGACAAGGAUUGACCUUGCUCCUACGUAUUCUCAGUUGGACUGGGAAAUCAGGGUUACGUAGUUCUUUAAUCGUUUGGAAAAUUUGUUUGAGAAAUUGUUUGAGAAAUUUGUUUGAGAAAUUGUUUGAGAAAUUUGUUUGAAAAAAGAUUUGAAUUUUUUUGGAUUUUUGGGAAAGUGAGCCUGACAAGGACUAGCCUUGCUCCUACGUAUCUCCACUUUGGAUGGAGAAUCAAGGAUCACAUAGUUCUACGUUGGAAAAUGUUUUUAGUUUUUGAAGAUUUUUAUAUUUUUUUUGGUAUUUUUUUUAUAAAAGAAAGAAAAAAGGUUUUCAGCACAAGGCAGACAGAAUGGUCGCACGUGUGCUUAAACCUUUUAAAAUAAUUUUUUUGUUAAUUUUUUUGAAAGAAGAAGAAGAAGGUUUUUUAGCACAAGGCAGACAGAAUGGUCGCACAUGUGCUUAAACCUUUUAAAAUAAAUUUUGGUUAAUUUUUUGAAAGAAGAAGAAGGAUUUUAGCACAAGGCAGACAGAAUGGUCGCACGUGUGCUUAAACCUUUUUAAAAUAGUUUUUUGUUAAUUUUUGAAAGAAGAAGAAGAUUUUUAGCAGAAGGCAGACAGAAUGGUCGCACGUGUGCUUAAACCUUUUUUAAAAUAAUUUUUUGUUGUUUUUGAUAUUUAUUUAAAAGUAGAUAAAGUAAAAUAAAUAAAAAGUAGAAAAUGGAAAUAAAAUAAGUAGGUAAAUUACUAAAUAAAAAUAAAGAGUAAAAAUAAAAAUAAAAUGAAAACUUUAAUGAUAAAAUAAAAGGUGUGGUGGUGCUUAGAUAAGAGAUUGGGCGUCUAAACUACUUAUUUAAAAAAAACUGUUUGGGCCCAAACCCAAGGGUCUAGGGGUGUGAAAAUGAAAAAAACGGGGGUGCAAACCUAUUUAGUUCCUAUAAGAGACUGGGCCAAGCCCAAGUGGACAGGGGUGCGAAACGGAAACAAAGGGGUGCAGAAAGGAUUUGUAUUUUUUGGUAAGGCUUGAGUCCGAAGAGAAAGGAGGGUGUGAAAUUAGAACAAAAGGGGGUGCACGGAGGAAAAGUAUUUUUUUUGUUUAUUAUUUUUUUUUAAAAUGGCAUAGGGACUCAGGCCCAAGACUCUUCAGCAGAAAAAAUAGGGGUCUUCAAGCUCUCCCUCUCAUCUCAGCGUUCACACUCCAAACCCCAGAGCUAGGGUUCCCUUGAGAAAAAGAAAACCAUGAAGGUUUCGCGUCCCCAACUCGCACGCGCCACCAUCAGCGGCUCCAGCCAAGCGGACCAGCCACCACGAGGGGUUGUCGACGGCGACACCAACGCCUUCGGCGGAAGAACCACCGCCGGUUGCGCCGGACCACCGUCUUGCACUUUCUUCUUCGCGCGAAACCAGCCCCAACUCCGAGAACCCAUCGUUCCCGCCGCCGUUGACGAAACCAAUGACCACAAGCCGCGAACCAAGGUCGCGCCGGUAACGCUGCUCGUCGCCGGCCGUCGGGUCUUCUCCCUUCCUUCUCCUUUUCCCGCACGAGAAAAGCUCUCUCUCGCUCCUUCGUCAAACACCGCCUGAGCGAUCCUGGCCACCAUGAAGCAGAGCACCUCCGUUCCACAGGUCGCGGCUAAGGUCGCCGCCGGACCUCACGUUGACGUCUUCCACCGCCAUGGCCAAAUCCACUUCCACCCAAAAUCGUCACUGCGCCAGCCACCUCUAGGAAUCCCACUGUUUAGCUAUCAGAGAAAACAGCCCCAAAGGCUUGCCGAGACAAUGCUUGGGGGUUUGCUUAUUUCCUGUGAGAAUCAGGAUGGUUCUUGAAUGAUCGGAAGCUGACCUAGACGAUGAAACUAUUGUAUAUAUUUUUUAUUUUAUAUUUUUUUUUUGCAGGGAAAUGACUUUGGGGUUACUGACAUUUCCAUAAUGAAACUGAGAUUAUGAGUGGGUGAUGAUGUAUCUGCUUAGAUGUCUCUCUCGCAGGAAGAUGGUCACAGGGGUUUGCAUGGUAUAAGCGAAGAUUGAUGAAGGAUAAUGGGUGUUUUGUCUCUGUUUGCAGGUUUGUGGUAAGGCAUGUUUUUGUUGUUAUGAAGCACGAAUGACAAACAGUAUGUGGAAGCAAAUCAUGUAUAUCGUCAAACAGAAUGGAUAGGAAAAGAUGACCAAGAUAUGCAUACAACACUCAGAAUAUUCAAUGACAACCAUUCAUAAGCAUACAAAGGUAUUCUAACAGCUCAGGAAUAUUCCACAACAACCAUACAUAAGCGGUAGAGUAAAAAGGCAUUCUAACAGCGAUUGUGAAAUAAGUUUACUCGUUUACCGCUUGGAGCUUCCUUAGUACGGUUGCUGUGACAUGAUGAAUGAAGUUUGUGCUGAUGGGGAAGAAAGUAGACUACUAUAGUGGCCGAGUUUCUGUGCUAUUGCUAACUUCAUACCCCUGAUGAUCUCCUCUCUCCUCUUGGCCGGCUCCUCUUUUGUUUCUUUGUAGGUGAACGGAGGUUGCAGAUGUGCGAAGGAUGGCGUCUCAGCUUGAAAAAAAGGAAAAAAUUGGGUAGAGGAUUGUGCUUGUAUGCGUGAUGGGGGAACCGUUUCUGUUGAGUGAAUAGAGAGUGAAUCGGAGCUGAGAGUAGUGUGUGUGUGAGGGAGGAUGAUGUUGCUUCUGUUAGCCCCCAAGAACCCUCUUCUUCUCCCCCUCCAAGAUAUUGAAGCAAUUUGAUACCCACCAGACGCUCCUCCCUGUCGCACUGCCUCCAGGAAGAUCAGAGCAUAUCUCUUUCUUGGGAUUUCUUUUUUUGUCUUUUCUUUCUUUUUCUGCGUUUAGAUUGGAUCAAAUAACCAAAGCCGUUCAAAUUUCUUUUCCCGUAUGAUGUUUGAUUGCAGAAACUGUGUAAGAAAUUCACAGGCUUUUCCACGCUCCCAUUGUAUGGGAUAUGUUGAGUGUUUAACGAUACCUGAUGCACUGUUGCUUUGAGUUGCAGGAAAAAGCAUAGUUGACUCUUUUGUGAUUUUUGUUUCUUUCUGUUUUUUUUUUCGUUUUCUUUUUUUUUUCGUCUUUUUUUUUGUUUUCUUUUUCUUUUUUUUUUCUUUUUUUUUUUUAAGUAAAGGAAGAUAAAAAUAAAAAUAAAUAAUAAGACUAAGGUACAAAUUGAAUAAAAUAAACACUCUAAACAAAAAUUAAAAAAAAUAAAAAAGUAAAACAAACUAAAAAUAAAAUAAGAUAGUAUAAUUCAAUAACAAAACAAAAUAAAAUUAGAGUAAAAACUAUAUAAAACAAAAUAACGAAAAUUAAAAUAAAAUAAAUAGGGUAAAAUAAAUUUACUUAUUUGACUACCGGACGAAAUUGGGUAUUGACAUAUAUUUCUAUCUCACACACAUAAACAAACACACACACAUAGACACAUACAAACACACACAGACACGCACAAACAUGCACACACAAACGCACAAACAUAUACAGACACACAAACACACACGUACACACAUACACACACAUGCAUACACACACACAUAGAGACAAGCACACACAAACACACACACACAGAGACACACACACACACACAUGUAAGACCCUUGAAAACAAUUGUAAUUAGAUUGCUAGAUUUUUAGAAAUAAAUAGAAAAUUUUUAUGUAUAAAUGCUAUAGUAAAAUAUGUAUAAUGCUACGUACAAUGCUACAGUGAAAUGUGUACAGUGCUAUAGUGAAAAUACCUCAUGAAUCAUGUGUUGCUACAGUACUGCUACAGUAAAAAUUUAGUACAAGUCACAGUACUAUACAGUAAUCCUAACUCCAACUAUAAAUAAGGGUGAGGAAAUAAAGUUUUUCACAAGGAGAGCGAAACUAUCAUAAAAAAUAAGGAGAUAUUAGGACUAGAAUCUGAGUUGUAGAGAAGGUAGCAAGAGAUCCUGAAGAGGUAUUCUUCAUUCAGGAAGGAACGAGAAUCAAGUAAGAGGAGCUAACCCUUCUAUUUUUUUUAGGUUAACAAUUUAAUAUAUGAAUAUUCAUGCUUUGAACUUUUGUAUGUUUAUGCGUUGGUUGUAUAAAUCUUUAUGCCUGGAAAUUUAUGUGUGUAUUGUAAUGAAAAACUAUGUCAUUAUUUUAAAUCUGUGAAUAAGAAAUUGGGUUAAAAACUAGUUCAGGAACACUUUGGCUAGGAAAGACUUGGUACUUAAGUUGUCCGUUGUGACGCACGUCUCUUUCCUGGAAGUCUACUCGAUGAAUUUUUAACUUAAUCCUUAUUGAACAGAUUAUGUACUGCUAAUUUAUUUUACUCAAUUGAUAUUAAAUUUGUGAUUUUUUUUCAUAUGCAGACUAUAAAAAAAUGUUAGAAUGAAUACUCAAUCAAAUGGUGAAAUUUCAAUCGUUGACAUGAUUUUCCAUUUUUAAAGCUACUUUAAAAAAAAAAUUCUAAUUGCCACUUAAUGUACUGAUAGAUCAAUCUAGAAAUUCAAUAUAUGGUUCAUAAGACAUAGUAAUUAACUUUGGACGUCACGAUUGUAAUUUGAGGAUUAUAUUUAGAGGAAGAAAUGUUGAAAUUUUUAGUAGAAUGAUCAUCACUUUAUUACUAUCUCUAACUUAUUUCGGAACAACCUAAACCUCCAUUUCGUUUACCUUCAGAUUAAGUUGAAAUUUUGAUAGAUGAUUCCUGAGACAUACUAUUAUAUUUCGACUUCUAAGAUUUGUGAUUAGAUUGAUGAUCCAUAAAUUUCAGACUAUGUAAUGAAUAAUUAUAACUUCGGACUAUUAUCAACUGUAUUCAAAAUUAAUAAAUCUCACUUCCAUAACAAAUAAAUUCAUACUACUUGGAACUAAAUUAUAUUACAAACAAAUACUACAUUUUUAAAAAAGAAAUCAUUUCACUAAAUUAUAAUUUAUUUCAAUUUUUAAAUUUAUUUUUAAUAAUUAUUCUAAAUGUUUUACUCUUAAUAAACAUUUUUACAAUUAAAUAUAACAUUAACAAAUAUCAUUUUAUAUUACUUUAAUACCUAGGGGCAUUUUGGUAAUCUUCAUUUUCUAAGAAUUAAACAAUUUUUUUUUAACUGUCACAUCAAUCAAAUCCUACACUAAUUUCCACAAACUUUACCUCUAAUCCACCCUUAAUUACCUUCAAAUCUAGUCAAAUAAACACAAAAAAAAAAUCACCCUCAAAUCCCCUCAAAUCCACUCAAUCACUCUCUCCCAAUUCAUCUCAUGUGAACACACUGUAAGAGUUGGAAGUGAUUGAAAAUAUUGACUAAUGAUUAAGUGUAAGAUGUGAAUGACAUAUUACAUGGAGGAGUUUCUAUUUUUAUUUUAGAUGUUUCUUAAGAUACUCUUAAUAAUAUUGUUGUUACUGAUUUAUUGACUUUUAUGCAUCUAGAAUGAUAAUCAAUAAUACAUCUUAGUGGUCUAGAGGAUAUUUUGGUUAAUUUGUUAUAAGGAGAGAGGGAUUUUGAUAUAGUAAAAUGUGAGAAGAUAAUCUAUGAAAAGUGGUAAUGGUGGUAAAAUUGAUCUUUUACGUCAUAUGAUUUACAUGUCAGAAUAAAUGAUAAGACAGUAAAAAAUUGUUGUGACAUUCUUUUUAAUAAGAGUAACUUUUUUAAAUUAGGUCUUAUAAGGUUCGACAUAAAUUUUUGUUGAGUACAAGUUCUAAUGUAAAUGAGUCUUUUUAUGUCUGACAACAACGAGUUUGAUGUAAAUGAGUUUUUUUAAAUAGGGUCCCGUUAUUUUAACAACCCAUUUUUAACACACAUUUGACAACGCCUGUUGUCAACAUUCAAUUAGUCCUUUUUCAUUUUUGGUUUUUUGAAAAAGUUGUCCUCGAAAGUGAAGAGUGGUUCAGAAAAUUAGAUUUCCAACUAUACCCUUGUCCUGUUUCAUUAGAAACGAAGCUUCUCUCUUCAUUUUCGCAGAAAAGCUCCGCCCUUUUGCGUCUUCGUUCUCCUUGUGGGUGUUCGCAGUUCGUUCUCGUUAUGGGUGUUCAAAAUGGUAAGUUCUGGUGAGCAUCUUCGGUUGACCAAGGUAAAUGUGUUUUUCCACUAUCUUCUUCUCGGUUUGAGUUUCGUGCUUUUUGUUUUGGUGUUUAGAUUUUUGUUGUUUUCGUUGAGCAGUUGACCGUUCGUCACUCAUUUUCAAUAAAGAACGUUUGUACUUUGAACGAACAUCUGACAGAGGAGCAACAUUUAGUGAUUGCGAUGACUCCAUUUGCUUAGUUUUUAGACUUGAGUGGUAAAGUUAUGUUUAAUAACAAAAUAUUAAGGGAGUUAUUGUUGAAAUGGGUGGAUUCGAGCAAUGCUUUUGUAAUUGGAGAAAAAGUUGUGAAUAUGAUUUAAAGUGAUUUUUGUUUAGAUUAGGGUUGAGUUCAGAUGGUGAUAUUAUAAACUUAAAGGAUACAAUGGGUAGAAGUAAAUGUGUGAAAUACUUAAGUAAACGUAGUGGACGAGUGUUUCCUAUCAUGUUUGAAAUUGUUGACAACUUAAGUGGUCUGAGUAAUUACUGUUGGGGUAGUUUAGUGUAUCGUUAUUUGUUAAAAAUUUUGAGCAAAGCUUCAAAUGCUGUGAAGAAAGGCAAAGCUACAACCAACGUUUAUGUUAAUGGUUGUGUUUACAUGUUGCAGGUAUUUCUUAUUUAUUUAUUUGAGAAAUAAAUUAUUGAAUAUUUGUUAUUUGAUUAUCAGUAAUUUAUAACAAUUACAUGUUUUUUAGGUAUGGCUUUGUGAGAAUUUCAUUCCUCCCAAAGGUGCAAUAGAGAAAUUUCCAAGGAUCUUCCAUUGGAUGAAUAGGAAUGUGGGAGACAACAUCGUCAAACGUGUUUUGGAGAUGAGUGUGGUAUGUGUUGUGUUAUUUUGCUUGUGAAUGUUAUGAUAUAUUGACAGUAGUUAUAUAACAUGUUAUGUAUUGUUAAAUUUCAGGUUGAUGUUGUUGAUGAUUUUAUUGCUGCAAUGAAGGAUAAAGAGGAUGUCAAGGAAAAAAACCACCACCAAAAAGGAAUGAUGAGCAACGAUCAACAAAAAAAAUGCUUAAAAGAAAAUGCAGAGAGAGUUUGAUGCGUACUCUAGAGGAGCAAGAAUUUGUAAUUGAAGAACUUAAAAGGAAGGUCAAUGUCCUAGAGGCAGAGUUGGCGGAAGAGAAGGCCAAAAGAACAACUAAAAGGAUAACUAAAGAUGAUGGUGAACAAAGUGUUGCAAGUCCACAACCAUUCGGCAACAGUAAAAGUGCCUUUGUUUCCUCGGGUGGAAUAUCAAACAACGAACUAGGUGGAGUGUCCAACAACGAACAAGGUGGAAUGUCGAAGAACGCACCGGGUGGAAUGUCCAACAACCAAUCACAUUUGAAGACGUAUGUGAGGAUUUGAUCAAGAAGGCGUUAUAAGAGCCAAACACUUAGGACACCGUACACCAGAAAUGUAGUACUUAGAAAAAAAAAUGACUAAUUAUUGUAUUAAGUUUUUAAACAUACUUCGCUCAAUAUAUAGAAGAUGCAUGUUUGAUCAUCUAUUUAUGUAAUUUAUAUUUGCAAUUUUAUUGCCUAUGUUAUUGAAGUGCUUUAUAUUUUGAUUUGGUAUACAAUUUAAAUUAUGAAGACUCCAUUUUUAGCAAGUGAUAAUGUUUGUGAGACAAGAAUGAAAUAAUGUUUGUGAUUUGAUGAAUUUAGCUGAAUUGGUGAAGAUGGUGCUGCUAAAAUGUGCACUGUAAUCGUUUACAAAGGGUGUGUAAAUGAUUACGCGAGUCAAACUUGGAUUUUAGACAACCUGUUGAACUGAAGGAGCCACCAGUGAUAACGCAGGGACCACAGUUCAAUAGUAGUGUAUUUUGACCCAAGUCCAUUGCUUUUUAUUGUAAUUUGUUGUUUAUGUGUGAGGAAUGCCUUCAAGUUAAUGUUUUUGGUCCCCCAUGAUGGAGGAGGGACCACCCAUGUUCAGAUCAUGGAGUGAGACCUCUGCAAGAAAAAUGUGCAUUGUAAUAGUUUACGAGGGGGCUGUAAACGACUAUGCGAGUCAAACUUCCGUUUUGGACAACCUGUUGAACUGAAGGAGCCACCAGUGAUAACGCAGGGGACCACAGUUCAAUAACAGUGUAUUUUGACCCAAGUCCAUUGCUUUUUAUUGUAAUUUGUUGUUUAUGUGUGAGGAGUGCCUUCAAGUUAAUGUUUUGGGUCCCCUAUGAUAGAGGGAAGGACCACCCAUGUUCAGAUUAUGGAGUGAGCUGAUGUCUUGCGACCUCUGCAAGAAAUAUGUGCAUUGUAAUAGUUUACGAGGGGGCUGUAAACGAUAAUGCGAGUCAAACUUCGAUUUUGGACAACCUGUUGAAUUAAAGGAGCCACCAAUGAUAGCGUAGGGGACCACAACUCAAUACCAUUGUUUUUUGACUCUAAUUGAGUUCCUUUAAAUAGUAAUUGGUUGUUUAUAUGUGAUUUUCAAUUAUUUAACUGUCCAUUAAAUACGCGAUUAUCUUACUAUUUAACAUUUUGUCAAAUAUAAUGCGCGAAACAUUCAACCAACAUUUAACAUGAAAAUAAAAAAUUUCCAUACACAAUUUGAGUAAUAAAAACACUACAAUAUUCCAGUAAUGCAUAAAAGAUCCUAAUGAAAGCAAAUACAUGUAAACAACAAAUUCUAACUACGAGUGAAAUGAUAAAAGGGGGUGUGGGACUGCUGUAGUCGAUUCUCAAUGUUCCCAACUCGUGAUUCUAGGGCGUCAAAUCUUGUAGCAACGUAGGUCUGGAGUUGUUGUCCAAUGUGUUUUAUGACAUCAUCUAGUGUUGUAGAACUCGUGACAUUAUCCUGGACUUGUCCGCGUUGACGUUGUUGAUUGGCUGUGUUGUCUUUCGGAAUCCACACUUCGUCUUCAUUUUGCACAACAAUAUAUGGAGAUUCGAACCCACCACUACACAACAUUACAAAAACAUUGCUAUUAGUUAACAAUGCGAGGAUAUAAAAUACACUACCAAAAAAAUACUAAAACUUCAACUUACUUUUGGGUUUUGGGCUGCCAUUGCACCUGCACUUAUAUGACAAACCAAAAACAAUGGUGGAGAAGAUGAUUAAGGUUGACAAAACACGAAAACAAAAAAUGCUCCAAAAUUAGGGUAGGCUUCGCGUGCUUUUACUUACUAAAACAAUCGAGAAAGGCGUCAAGGAAGAGAGAGGGCAUAAUGCAAGAGAGAGGUUUUGCGGAUACACAGAGCAAGCGAGACGAGUGCUUUGACAAAAAACGAAAACAAAAAUUGCUCCAAAACGAGGGUAGGGUUCGUAAGCUUUUACUUACCAAAACAAUCGAGAAAGGCAUCAAUGAAGAGAGAGGACACAACGCGAGAGAGAGGUUUUGCGGAUACACAGAGCAAGCGAAACGAGUGCUUGGGAGAAAAGACAACACGAAAGUAAACGAAAGAUGAAACGUGAUGCGAAAAAAAAAAUUGAUAUCUUCAGGUUUCCAAAAUUACCCUUGCCAUAGAAUUUCAACCUUUUUUUCUUCUUAAAAACUAGCCAGUAGACACACACCACGUGGCGUUGUCAAAUUGUUGGCAAAAAAAUGUUGUUGAACAAACGUUUUCAUUUUAAAUAUUGUAUGCAACUUUUUUUUUCUUUACUUUUUCUUCUUUGAAAACCUAUGCAUGCAACUUUUGUCUUAUUUGAUGAUGAUCCUGGAUGUGUGGAGACUUCGUUAGUGACCAAAAUAGCUUAUUUUCUUAAUCUUUUGGGGUGGUUUAUUGUGGGAAAAAAUUUUGUCCAAUUGCAUUUGUGUAUUGAGGUUAGUUUUUUAAACUUCUACUUUGCUCACAUUCAAAAGGGCUUGUUUUAGGUAAACUAUGUGAUGCCUCUCUUUGUUGUUGAUGGACUUUUUGAUGUGGUUAUAUAUGUCUCGUGGUAGUGGCUCUAAUUGCAUUGAGGUUUUAUGGGUCAAAUAUGUCAUCCAAGUAUGUGUUAUAUGUCUCCAUUGUAUGUGUUCUGUAUUUUUAUAGAUUUUCAUUCUAUCAUAUUGUCAUAGAUGUUUUAUGGUGGUUGUUUCGGUUAUCUUUUUCUUUAAACAACAAAAAUUUACGUAUUUUACAUACGAGUGUCAAACUUAAAACUAAACUGACAUAAAUAAAUUUAAAAUAACAUACAUAAAAUAUUUUAUUUAGUGUACUUGUCAUUAAUUUUGGAUUAAGUGAUACAAUUAGCAUAGCUAAUGAAAUUUUACCUUAUUGUGUUCUAGACAAUCUCUCACACCCUUCCUUCUAAACCUAAAUAAUAAUAAAUAUAAUUGAACUUUUGUCCUUCCUCACUUCCCCUUCUAAAUUUUAACACUAAGCUACCUUAUUUCUUUUUAAAUACUUUAUUUACUUUUUAGUGUUACAUUUACUAUACUUCAAUUAAUUUAUAUUUUUCAUUAGGAUUGGAUUCAACUAAAAAAAAAAGACUGAGAUGUGUCAAAAAUCUAGAAAGUAAAUUACUGCAAAAGUUGUGAUGGUUGUUUUUUUUUUCGUAGUAAUCAAAAAAUAAUAAUCUUCUUUAAUAUUGUUUAAUUCUUUGCCGAUUAAAUUGAUGGCAAUGAUUUUAAAAGACGUAUCUCAUUCUUAUAUUAUGUAAUUAAAGCAUUGCAAAGAUUACUUAUAUGAAAACUUGAACUACAUCUGAUCUUAUUCAUUGCAUAGUUUUAAAAGGUAACUCUAGAUAACAAAAAUAUUAUGGUAAUCAUCUUUUAGAAUGCAUUACAUGUUGGGCUCAAUAGCACAUUAGGUGGAAAAAAUUUAAUGCAGCUACAUGAUUUAGUUAAUUUUUGUCGUCUUCUAUAAAUUUGUGUAAUUUUAAUUGCAUGCAUUUAUUGUUGUAAAUUUUAAAAUUAAGCAUUUUGAUCUUACCAUUAAAUAUUUAUCAAUUGUGUUUUUUUCUCAUGUUGACCAUGACAAAGCCUAUAAUUUAUCUAAAAGAGCCUAAAUUCAAGUAUGUGGUGAAUGACUUGUGAGUAUUUUAUAUUAUCUAAAGUUUGACCUAUUACUGUCAUUAAAAUAAAACAGAAUAAAAAAAAUUAAAGAACAAAAUUUGUCACAUUAAAACAGAUAGAAAAAAGAAACACGACGAUAUACGCCACGUGUUAGCAGUGCAGCUGAUUUCCAAAAUUUCCUAAUGCAAUGGUCUAUUGCCGAACUGGAUUGAAAAAACACAAUUAUUUUAUUUUCCUAACUCUUUUAACUAAAAAAUAAAAGUCUACAGAAAUCUUUUGAUAAUUUAUAGUCUUAUCGAGUGAUAAUCUUAACGAGGGACUAUUAUAUAUUCGACUUUUAAAUAUUAAAACAAAUUAAAAAAAUAUAUAAUAUUUUGCACAAAAUCUUUGCCUUUUGUUAUAGAGAGGAAAAUAUACAUCUGAUUAUGCGAAAAAAAAAAAUUAUAUCUUUCAAACACACUGUUUAGUCAAUAAAUUUGACUAUCUUCUUCAUAACCAUUUUCCCAUCGUGUCUAUCCCAAAUACGACAAACCACCAACAUCAACAGAAACCCUUGGCUACAAAAAAAGAAAUUAUUAUUAUAUGUUCAAACAUGGUGUUCUCAUGAAAUAAAAAAUGUGUUAGGUAACGACCAAGAGUUCCAAAGUAAAAUACACAAAACUGAAUAAUAUUAUUUAUAUAACAAUAUGUUUGUAUGUACCUAGAGAUAAAAUAAUAAAUAUAAAAUAAAAUAUGAGCGUGUUUUUUUAUUUAUUUUAUUUUGAUCACUAUAAAAGAAAAAAAUGGUAUUUUGUCUCUCAGUAACUUAAAAUUAAUGAUUUCAAUAUAUAUAAAAGCAAACGAUUUUUGUCUGUAUUUUUCUUUAAAAAAAAAAAUAAUCACUUCAAACCAUUGAUUCAAAAAAUUCAUUAUACGGUAACUAAGUUACUUAAUCUAAAUUUAAAAAAAAAAAAACAGAUAAUAACGUAUAUACUAUUAAUGAUUAUCAUAUAAAAUAAAGGACAUUAUAUUUUUUGGUGUAGAUAUUUUUAUUUUUUUACUUUUAAAGCAGUUUAUAAAAUUAAAAUAAUCAUCUUACCAAUUCUACUCACUAAAUGACCAUUUUUUAAAUUUAAUCAUUUUUAAAAUUAAAAUAAACUAUGUAUAAUAAAUUACCUACAGAAUACAUAAAAGCUAUUUAUAAUGAAAUUAUAAAGACUAUCUACACUCACUUUUGUAAUAAUAAUAAUAAUAAUAAUAAUAAUAAUAAUAAUAAUAAUAAUAAUAAUAAUAAUAAUAAUAAUAAUAAUAAUAAUUUUAUUAUUUUUUAUUAUAUUUAUAUAUUAUAUAUGAGCGUUAUUUUUUAAUAUAAACAUUUGACAUUAAGGCUGAUGAUUGUCUAAUGUUAGUUGUAAUAAACCUAAAAUAAAAUUUCAAUUUCUUGAAGUAUAAAGUAAUGAUAAAGACUCUCACAUCCUAAAUAUACGACAUGCAUGUAAUAUAGUCUAGAGGUCAUCAUUUAGAAUAAAGGAAAGCAGUCAAGAGUAAAUUAAUGUAUAAAGGAUUACAGUCAUCUUUGAAAUAGUGCUGGGAAUUUAAAGCUUAGAGUUCUAGAAAGUAUCUCAAAAUAAAUUGAACAAAAGUGUUUCAAUAGAACAUAAAGAACUAAGAAGGCCCUAUGGAAUCUAUGCAGCAUCCUCGUUCUCCUCCAACACAUGCUCCAAGGAGGUCUCUCCUUCUUCUGUUCACAUCCAAAAUGAAUGAUCAUCGCAACAUGGCAGCACACACAACAUGGCACAACACAAUAGACAAACAAUUGCAAGGGUGAGCUAAUUGUAUAUAUAAAACAUGCAGCAUAUCAAGCAGAUAAAACACACAUCCUAUACAUGUUAUAUUCUAGACUUGACUCGUCCGGACAUAGAAUGAAAGUCGAGCUAUGAUGGGUCUUGCACCCGUGGUGACUUAUGAAGCUUGGGUUCCCCACCUUGUCACACUCACGAGGUUAGCCUGUUCCGCGCCUUGAGGCAUACUGGGAGCCCCCAAAACUAAGACCUCCUACUACUCCUCACCACAUGGUUCAAUCUCUCUAGAUGAGCUUGAUUGACCAUUGGAGUGUCAAGAUGACCCCCAAGACUCUUCCCAUACUUUCAUUCUAAACACUAAGAAUCUCACCGAGAGAUUCUACACAGAUGGAACUUAGUUUACCACUUGGAUCAUACUUUCAUCACUUUGUAAUCAUAUACUUUUUGCCACAAUUAACACACACAAUCUCAACAAUAUACAUUAACUCAUUCAUCACAAGUUAUAAAAGCAACAGUUUCAUAAUCUAUCAAUACCAGAAUCUUUAUAAUUUAUUUUCAAUGCCUACACUCAUAUAUACUGAAAACAUGUUUCCUUUAAUUCUAUUAUAAUAUUAUAAAUUAUUAUGAACAUCACCAACUAUUACUAUUUUCUUUUAUACAUACAUACGUAUUAAUUUUUCUUUUAUAUAAUUAUAUUAUAUUAAUAGAAUACGUACUCUCUGUUACUAAUUAAUAUAUAUAUAGUAUGAUAUUAAUAAUCAUUAAUAUAUAUAUAUAUAUAUAUAUAUACUCUGUUAUAUUAUUAAUAUUAUAUAUAUAUAUAUAUAUAAUAUUAUUAUCAUACUUUAUAUUUUCUAACUCCAACACUUCUUCUAUAAACUAACCACUGCAGCAUGGCUCCAUUCUAUUCACCCACUUCCUUUUCUUUCCAUAACAUAAAUCUAUUAAACAAAAUUACAUAACCAAACUUUCCUAAUCCUAAAUUAACACCACAACUCCUAAUUAAUUAUUUCCCUAUUAAAAUAUCACAUCAAUCAAGAUUUUUAAUCUUUUCUUAAUUUCUCUCUCUCUUUUUUUUUUUUAACUAACAUAAGACCCAUUCUCACCUACCCACUUAUUUAACAAAACAAUUCAAAUUAAAGAACCCUUUUUUUUUUCUUCCCACGCUGCCUAUUUCCUCUCUGUUACCAUUGUUCUUCUCUUUUUAAAUCUUCACCUCUCUUUCCAUUUAAGUGGGACCCACGGAUCUCACACCUAUGCACUCUAAAGUCAGAAACAAAUCCUCCCUUAUACUUCCCACACACUUAAUAAAUAAACCAAUUUCUCCUCUGCACCUCAACGUACCAUGACAAAAGCCUUCCCAUGCAACCAUUGAGUAGCUCUCUUCCUCCUCUUUAUUGAACACCUAAAUUUAUUUUAUAAUAACAAAACACCACUGUCCCUUACUCAUAUUACUCAUGUAANUCUACGUUUUUUUCCAAGGCCCCUCCACAAGUCACUCUCCCCCUUCUUUCCUUUUUCUUCCACAAACCGAGACCCAUAAAACACUACCCCAAAAUUGAUUCUCUUUUUAAUAACACAAACUUUUUCACUUCCAAACAGUUCAAUCUAUAACCAUUAAAGUCAAUAAAAUCAUACACAGGCAAGCCAUCAUAAAUUAAACAUACUCAUUUUUCAUCAGUUUCAUAACUCAUCACAUAUCCUUCAAUAUUCAUAAAACUUAACAUGCAAUUCCAAAAUAGCACACCAAAAUAAAAUUCACCAUAUAUGUAGAGCAUAUAAACAAUUCAAAGAAACAUAACUAGCUCCCCUUACUUUUUGGUUCUCACAGCAUAGUUCCUAGAAAACGCCCUAACAGUACCUCCACACAGAGGUAAUUUCGACAGUACCUACAAGCCACCAAUUUGGUGUAGAGCAUAGACUUUAGGGCUUGAUAGGAUAAGGAAAAUAAAAAUAACUCUACUUGCAAGGUAGAACCUUUGCAUGAGUAAAACACUAGGGUGCGGAGAAUGGGAAAUUUACCUUAUCAGUGGAGAGACGCGAAACUAAUCGGAUGGAUUGGAAACUCUCAACUCCGAGAACGUAGGGGCACCACCUAUUUGGAAAAGCAAUGGUAGAAAUUUGAGAAAAGGGUAGAGAGAAGAUGGAGCAAGGUUUAGAGAGAAGACGGAGCUUCUAAAGAACCCAACUUUUAGAGAGAGAGAGAGAGAGGGAAGCUAACAAAUGAGUCCUAAUUUCUGAAAAAUUUCUCUCUAAGGUCAGGUUGUCCCUAACCUUAUGGGCUUGACUGUCUCACAUAAGGCCCAAUGGCUUUAAAAAUUUUUAGGCCCUUACAAAGACCAAAAUGAAAACACAUUACUUAAAAAUUUAUUUAAGACAAAACAAAUGCUUAUUAAGUUGUUGUAAAAUUUUAUUGUAUAAUUAAUUAACAAUAAUAUUAUCUUCCGUUCCAAAGGUUGACUGUGUCUAUAUUAUAUUAUUGGAUUUUUGUUUUUUUUAAAACUUCCGUAUUAUUCUACUAAUAAGCAUUAUUUUGCAGCCAUAGGAGACUUGCUUUUUAAUAUGCAACGGAACUACAACGUACUCAUGUGUAAUCGCUGAGUCCAAAAUGGACGAAGGAAACCCUAAAAUUGAAUCUCUCUCCACUGUGAAUAUCUUGCAUUUACCAAGGAAUGUACAGCCAACUUGUUAGUGACCAACUUCCUUUGCCAUGCCUUCACGUUUUAUUUCAUUGUUUUUGUUUCCAAAAAACAAAAAAAAAAGGGGUUAAACUACUUCUGUAGUCCUUGUAGUCCUUAUUUCUGUUGGAUUUUUUUAAAUAGGUCUUUUUCUUAAUUUCUUUUUCUAAUUAAGUCUUUAAAAGUAAAAUUUGAAGCAAUUAGCUUUUUGUCAUUAAAUUGGAUUAAUAGGAUUAAGUUUUUCAUGAUUUGAGAGUUUAACGUGGAAUAUUUUUAGUACAUGACAUAAGGAGAGGGUUUUACAUGGAAUUGAUUAUAUGAAACAUUUAAAAAUUAAGUUUUUUGAAUUGUAAAAUAAUAUGAGCAAUUAAGGUUCCAUUAAAAUUAGUCAUGCACCCAAAUCUCACCUUAAUUCUCUUUAUUCAACACUUAACACAGGGAACACAAACAAGGAAACAUACCUUAAAAUUAUAUUUUCAAACAAAAAACACAAAAAGGGAAACAUACCUUAAAAGCCCUCUGAAUGUUGAUUAAUCGCAACAGUGAUAGCUUAAUCAGAUUCUCCUAAUAAUGCUUGUGCCCACCUUAUAAAAAACAAAGCGAUUAAGUUUUUUUGGAGUUCACAAAUUUAGGUAUUUAGGAAUAAACUAACAUUACUUACCAAAUGAGUCUUCGAUUGACCAAAUCCACACAACGAACACUGACAGAUGACCAGAAGAUCAAGAGUGCGAGUGCGAGGGUUCAACUACUAAAGACUAAGGGUUCGAGUAAGGGAGAACUUUUGAGUGAGAGAGAACGAGGCCUCAAGAGCGACACCAAGGUUCUAGUGAGAGAGAACGAUGAUUUGAGGAGGGAGAAAGAGGUUCGAAUGAGGGAGAAGGAGGGCACAACUGAGGGAGAAGGAGGGCUCGAUUAAGGGAGAAGGAGUGCGAGACCAGGGUUUCAAUGGAGAAUGAUGGUUCAACUAAGGGAGAAAGAGGUUUCCUUCUAAUGAUGGAGAAGGAGGAUUGAGUGAGGGAAGAGCAUAUCUCGACGGAGAAGCAGGGCGCGAGGGAGAAGGAAUGAAAUAACUUCUACAAAGUCACCUUAACAAAAAAAUUUUAAAAUAUUUUAAUUAGUAAUUGUGUCAAAAUCCAUAUGUAAAUUAGUAGGUAAAUUUUUUUCAAUUUACAUACAGAUCUAUCAUUGGCAAAGUUUCCGUUAAAACACACUAACAUUGCAUAUGGAUUUUACACAGAAAAAAUGCAUAUGUAAACUUUUUCUCCCAUUACAUACUGAAAAAUCUGUAUGUAAUGCAAUUUUAAACAUCCAUAAGUAAAAUCCAUAUGUAACGAGUCAUUUACCUACUGAUCCAGAUUCAUAUGUAAUAAUCUAUAAGUAAUUUGCAUUUUUCUUGUAAUGUUUAUCCAUUUCUGAUUAGAUACUUCUUUAAAAAAAAUUGCGAUUUUUUAGAAUCCAAAGGUAUUCAUAGAGUUGUCAACUUGACCCAUGGUCCAAGGGUCAGCCCUAACCCACUCUUGAAAAAGUUUCCUUUUAGGAAGAUUCUCAAGUGGAAGCCAAAAAAAAGUCAUAAGCGCUAGAACCCCCUCUCAAGUGGAUUAGAGUUAAAGUGGGUUUAGUCUCACUACAAAACUUUAAUUAACUUUUAGAAACAAUAUUAUCUAUAUAUAUAUAUAUAUAUAUAUAUAUAUAUAUAUAUAUAUAUAUAUAAAAUUAUAUUUUUAUUAGAUAGUUUAAUAUAUUGUAAUUUUAUUAUAUUUAAAUCAAUAUUUUUAUAUCAUACUUAUUAAUAUGUUAUUAAAUAAAAUAUUUAAUAAGACUUCAUACUUUUUAAGUUUUCAUAUAUUAAAUAAAAUAUAUAUUUUUAUAUCAUACUCAUAUACAACAAUCUCCAUGUACGAAAGAAGACUUCAUAUAUAUUUCUCAUAUAUCACCAUACGACCAUGUCAAGUAUUUAAUAAUUUUAUUAAUUUCUAACUUUUGUAAAAAAAACUCGAAUUAUCACUUUUAACAUUUUCUCUAACCAAAUAUAGUCUUUGUUAAAAAAAUGUUCAUUUAAAUAAAUAAAAUGACUUUUCUUUGUCUUAAUUAGAUUUUAAUUUCUUUAAAAUCAAAUAAACAUUUUAAAAGAUAUAAAUGACUUGCUUAAUUAAUAAAAUAUGUAUUUUUUAUAUUGUGUAUGUGUCUCUGUGUGUGUUGUAACACCCCAAACAUUUUCAAGGGUAUUACGAGCAGUAAAAUUUGAAUUUAAUAUUUGAUCUCCAUAAUCAAAACAUUAUUUUAAUUUAACAAACAUACAUUUUCAAACUUACAAACUUUAAAUAACAUAGUCUUCACCAUAAGUUCAAAAUUAAACAAUUUUAUGAUACAAUUCAUUCUUGACAAAAAGCCCUUGAAAGAUUUUCCCAUCAAGUCUCUCAUCACCUCUAAGCCCUUUUCGCUGCAUCUGCAACAUUAUCUGCCCACGUAUAACACUAGUUAUACGACCAUAGCACAGAUAAAUAAGAGUAAGUUAACCAUUAACAUAAAAUCAUUAAACUUACUCCUAACAUAUAUAAUUCAAUUAUAUUUUUCUACCAAUCUCUACGCACAAUUAUCCUCAUACAAUUAUUUUACUUACAACACUAUUUCUCAUAUUUCUUCAAAAUCACCAUUUUCAUUCCCAUAAAUCUUAUCAGUAUACCUUGCUUACUUUCAAAGCCUUAUCGCCAGGUCGUUCUGUGCCUGCUUCCUUAAGUCUUAUCAGUAUAUUAUAUUCAUAUUCCGAAGCCUUAUGGUCAGACCGCUCUCUGCCUGCUUCUAUAAAACUUACGAGUACUCUGCUUAUGUCAAAGCCUUAUGGUUAGACUACUCUCUACCUGCUUUCAUAAGCCUUCUGAGUCACUCAAUUUAACUCCACUACUCCUAGUAGUAAAUCUUUAGAUUUCAUUUCAUAAUUAAUAAUUCCUUAUAUUUACUCAAUUCUUUACAAAAUCAAUCACUUCAUCUCAUUCAUCUAGCUUAAUCAUAUUCAAUUAAUAAAUCAUGAAGUGAUAAUAAUCCAUCAUCGUUACACAAUCGUGUCAUUACCCAACAUAAUAACAUUGUUAGUGCAGUCAGGGAGGUGGUUAUUUGUAAGUGUUGAUGUAGCAUUGCGACUACGUUAAAGUCAACACCAACCACAUCAUCAUCUAUAUCUUCAUGGUCCAAGUACGAAAAGUCUAAUUCUUCUUCCAUCUAUAUUUACUUGUUUGUAAUUUACUCCCUAUAUUUAACAUCAUCAUUCAUGUGUUCAUUAAACAUAGUUCAUUCAUUCAUAUAUUCAUUAAACAUUAAACAUAAUUCGUAUAUACAUCAAUACAUUCAUAUAUUGAUUAAAAUUACGAAUAAAAAAUAUGACUCUUCACAAUAACCUCAUUCACAGAUUUAUUAUGAACUACAUACAUAUAUUUACAAACCAUCAUACAUUCAUAUAUUAUAUAUUAAUAUAUUAAGUUAACAUAAUACAUAUAUUUACAAAACAUCAUACAUUUAUAUAUAAGUUAACAUAAUACAUAUAUUUAGAAAACAUCAUACAUUCAUAUAUUAUAUACUAAUAUAUUAAGUUAACAUAAUAGUUAACAUUCAUAUAUUCAACCUCAUAUAUUCAACCUCAUAAACAAGCAAUAAGCACCACUGAUUCACACAUUCAUAUAUUUAUUAAAAAGAAGAACUGUAUAGCACUUACCUCUUGAAGAUCUUGAAGACGUAUAAAGAUUUGAUGGGAUUAAGUAAUAAGCCACUCACAGAUUCUCCAAUCAGAUACGCAAUUUACAAAUUUCAAUUUACAAAAAUAACUAUCACUCUAAAACAAACCAAACCUACAAACAUAAUUAUAUCAAAUUAUUAUACAUAAAAAAUGCUUCAACAAUGCACAAAAAGCUUUGUACAACUUUGGAUGUUACAUUAAAAUGUACCACUUGGCUCCUUGAUGCACCACAAUCCCCCACCUUCACAACCAACCUCGCAGCCACCUCUUUCCAAACAAUGGAAGUGUAUCAAAAUUGGUUAACAAGGCUUUCUUACAAUGUCAAAGUCAUCAUACACUCCUUUUGCAUUAUGAGCAAACAAACUUACAAGCAAUACAAAUUACACACACAAUGUUGUUGAUCAACCUCUACCACCUUGCCUAGCCUACACAGCACAAAAAUGCUCCACUUACUUGCCAAAUCUCCACCACCUUGAUGCAGCUUGAAGCACGUUGCCCCACCACGCUGACAGUACCUCAAACUAGUCAACACCUGCAUCACAAAAAAAGUUGUUCAAAUUUAAUAAAAACUCCAUCAUGCUCUCUUCUUUGCAUGUUAGCUUCGUCUUGUGCUUCAAGGCCCUUCGUGUUGUGCUUCACUAGCCGUCGCAUCGUGCUGCCAUCCUCCACAAUGAUGGACAUCGUCGUUGCUCCUUCAAUGACCAUCACAUGCUUUCUCCAUCCUCCAUCUAUCACGGACAACUUCCUUGACUCCUUCAACCUGCAUCGAUGAGUGUUGCAUCGUCCACCACCAUGGAGAGCAUCCUCCAUCAUCACCAACACCUUCGUCGUCAUUGCAUCGUCCACCACCACAUAGAUCUCAUGGUCAUUGCAUCAUCCACCUUCAUGCUUCUAGUUGACGCCUUCCAAAGUUGCAUCGUCCACCUUCGUCAACAUGACGCUAUAACCACCAACAUGCAAAGAAGAGCGCAGGAAUAAUCGAAUACGACCACUGCAAUCGCGCCUGGAAUCAGAUACAGCUACACGUAACCGAAUACACAACUGGGCUUCGUCUUCUUCAUGGGUGUAAUUGAAUACGCAUAUGUUGUAACCGGAUACAGCUGCACAAUCUUCUUCUCCAUGGCCUGUAACCGAGUACGGCUGUUGCUGUAACCGGAUAUAGCUGCACAUUCACCUUCGUCCAUGGCGUGUAACCAAGUAUAGCUGUUGCUGUAACCGAAUAUGCAGCUUCUUCAUCAUCUUCUCCACCUUUCUCCAGCUUCAAACACUGAUCAAUCACCUCCGUUCUUCAUCUUCCAGCAACCUCAACUUCUUCAUAUACCACUAACCUUGCAAAAUCGACACAAACAUGCUUGCCAUUGUGUCAAUUAACUCAUAUGAUCCUCACCUCAACUUCGUGUUCCUGCUCCUCUUCCAACGCAAGCUUUGUCUGGAAUGUUCUCCUCUUCCGCACUCAAGGCAUGCACACAAAUUGCUCUUGCUCAACGAACACAAAAACCAAAUACGAAGCAUAUAUUAAUGCUUCUUCUACCUUUAAAAAAGGCGUCUCUAUGAUUCAAUGGUGCAGGAAUCUUUGCAGUGUAUUGUCAAGGCUGCGUGAAUCUUUUCUGUGUGUGCAAUGCAGGAAUCUUCACUGUUGAAUGGCUCGCGUGCAACUUCAGAACCUCACACCUAUCUCUGCUUCAUCUAUCAAUGGCUUAUCACAAAGCCUGUAGCUCUAAACAGUGAUGCUCGUGAAUAAACAGUGCAACUUCUGUGUUAAAUGGAGUGCAUGUGAACAUUGUGUACGCAGUGUAAGUGGGUAAUAUUAAAUUGGGUUUCAGCUGGGAAUUCUUUUUAAUAACAGGGGCAUUUCAGAAAAAACACGUUUCAUCCCUCCAAAUCUCGUUUGAUGAGUGGGUGAGUGAACAGUGUAUUCAUCCCGCAAAUCCCUUCAGUUCGUUCUUCACAAGUCCAUCGAAAUGAACAUGAUAAUUUUGUAAUUCGUCGCUCUCCAACUCUUGUGAAUAGUAAAUUCACCGCAAGUGAACACAACGUUAAUAUUUGCAUAACCAAACUUUAUUUUUAUAUUGUAACCAUUGAUAAUGUUAGUAAUUUAUCACAAUUCUUAGCAACUAUAGUAAAAUGUCAUGUUUCCUAAAUUUCUCCAAAUUACUACUAUGAGUAUGUAGAUUAGUGUUUAUGUUCAUUGAAAAAGUAUACAAAUAAUGAUGUGAUAGAAAGAACGAAAUUAUAGGAGAGUAUUCAUAAGUGAGAAUUUUUUUUGUUACAAGGGUUUUAUAUGCAUAAAUAUAAACUUUUAGAAAUGAUACAUAUAGAAGCACAAAUAUCUUAUUAUAGAGAAAAGUCAAAGUCAAAAUCACUAAAACUUUUGACAAAACUGGACAACAUUACCCUACAAAAGGAAAAGAAAGCAGGAUGAAUACUAAUGUUAAAAUGAUUUUAGGCUAAAACAAGUGUAUGCCUAGUCAAAGUGUGAGACUAAGAAAAAUGAUAAUCUAAAUUAUAUUUGUGUUGGGAUAGAAACAAAAAUAUAGUAUAAAACUUUGAGAGAUAUUCAUAAUUGUAAAUUAUUCUCGUUAUAUCUUGUUUAUAUUUGAUGGUAUAUAUAUAUAUAUAUAUAUAUAUAUAUAUAUAUAUAUAUUUAUUGCACAUUUUCCUAUUACUAUAGGAUCAAGGAUCAGUAGUUAUUUUUUCUCAUGAAGCACAAACAAGUCAAAUACCAUCUUGAAUUGAACUAUAUUAAAUAGAAGAUUAUGAUUUUUCCUACAAUACAUAACCAUACCUAGCCGUAAGCUUAAUCGACUAUGUUGUUUUAAAUAUUACACGUAACUACAAUAUGAGUCUAUAUUAUAACAUAAUAUGAACCUAUUUAACAUGAUUUUUUAAUUGAAAAUUUAAUGUUCAUUGCGAAAUAUAAUAAUAUAUUUUUUAAUUAAAUGAAAAAUGUACAAAUAUUUAAACAAAUGCAUGAAAAAACAUUUAAAAAUAGGUAAAAUUUUGUCACCUGUAUAGGGAAUAUAUAUUUUGUUUUGAAAGUUAUAUUUAAAAAUUAAAAAUUCCAAAGAAUUUGAAAAUGUGUAUCCCCACCCAUCCCAUAGCGACUCCUAUAUUAAUAGCAAUUAAUGAUGCGAAAGAGAGUGAUAGCAUAUAUGGGUACCGUGAACUAAACACUACAAUUUAUAUCCCAUGUUGAAAAGUACACUGAUAUUUGGUUUUGGAGGGAUACUUAGAUUAGUAUUAGUAAAGCUUAUUCCCCACAAGUUUCUUUUUAAAUAAUUAAAAAGUAAAAGUUUAAAACAAAAUAAUUUAAUAAUUUUUUUUUUAAAACGGUGAACAUUAAAUAUAACGUAGAAAAAAAAAUAUUUGUAUCUACUACAUAAUGUAAAUUUGAUUUUAUUUCCAAUUAAUUUAAAAUUUUCAAUACACGUUAAUUAUAUAGAUACAUAUACAUUACUUAAUAAGUAAAUAGGAAGUUGAUUCUAUUUUUAUUAUUUCCUGUUCCUCUUUUAACAUUAUAAAGAUUUUAUUUCAUAUCUAUGUUUUUAUUUAAUUGGUUCUUUUUUGCCUUUUAAAUUAUACACUCUUUAAACUUGUUAUUGAUUUAAUAUUUGUGUAUUAUAAUUUCAGUUUUUUAAUUUAAGUUUUGAUAUAUUUUAUUUAUUUAUAUUAUUGGUAUACUGUUUAUUUCAUAUGCUUACUUUAUAUUUGUCGCUUACUUACAUUUUUUUUUGUGUUUUAAUAUCCAGUAAUUUUUCCGUAUAUUUUUUUAUUACAUUUCCACUAAAUUUCUAAUGAAGUCAUGUUGAAUUAGAAAAUAAAAUUAAAUAAAUUUAUCGUGACCAAUUUUUAUAAAAUGAUUUUUGAUGAUGGUCUUCAAUUUUUUUUUCACAUUUUAUUUUCUUGUCAGAACUUUAAGAUGAAAAACAUGUACAACUUAAAAUAUUUUAUGAUAAAAUAUGCGGAAAAGAUACUUAGUAAUGAAAGUUAUUUAGUUGUGAAUAACAUAUAUUAUCAAAUGUAUAUUUUGUUGUUGAUUAACAAUUAAUAAUUAUUUUAGUCAAUUUUAUGUAUUAGUCACAUCAUGGCGUAUUAUUUAUUUUAUGCUUGUUUAUUCAUGUCUCUCUCUUUAAUAUCCCUGCAAUAAUGAAUUUUACGAGAUUAUGUUUUAAAAAUUCUUUUAUUCAUAUUUGAAUGUAAAUACCAUUUUUAAGAUAAAAACAUUAUUUUUUUAUGGGUUAAGUAUGUUUUUCGACCCUCAACUAUUGGUCAUUUUUGUAUUUAGUUCCUCUUUCAAAGUAUAAUACAAUUUAGUCUUUCAACUUCAGAAAACUAUGGUUUUAGUCAUUUUUACCAAAUUUUUUAAACUUUAUUUGCUGUUUCAAGCACGUUACAUUAUAGCAUUUGGAUUGUUUAUACAUUUUGACACAUUUUUGCUUCAAUGUUAAUUAAUAAACGCGUUUGAAACAACAAAUAAAGUUAAAAAAAAUUGGUAAAAAGGACUAAUACCAGAGUUUUCUAAAGUUGAAGGACUAAAUUGUACUAUACUUUAAAAGAGGGACUAAACACAAAAACGACCAAUAGUUGGGGAACGAAAAACAUAUUUAACCCUUUUUUUAUCCUCAAGGCUAAAUUUUUAAAUUUAGAGGUUAUUUUUUAUUAUAUCAACGUUCUUCAUAAAGAUGUGUUAUAAAAAUCAUCUCAAAUUUAAAUCCUUAAUUAUGACAUGCGUACUAAAGAUGGCUUAUUUAUAUUUUUUAUAUGAUCAACUUGAUUCUUUAAAAUAAUCUAUUAUGCUUUUUGAUAGCUACUAGAUUUAGAAUAUUGGUUAAAAUUAAAAAGUAAUUGUAUAGAAUAUAUUUAAACAUCUUACCGACUUAGUAAAUAUAUUAAAAAAUGUGAUAUAAAUAAAUUUUUUAUUUUGGAACACCUUUAAAAAUAUAUCUAUUAAAAGAAUGUUUAUAUAUUUAUAUAUUAACGGUAAUCAUAAUUAACCUUGUGAGUGUAAUAUUAUUGUUAUUAUUUACAAGUAAGAUAUGACAUUGUUAUUGAUAUUUAUUUGAACAAAGUGUUAUUUUAUUAGUAUUAUUUGAUAUCAUAUUAUUUGUUUUAUAAUAUAGGCUCAAGGUCUAUAAAUACAUUUGUUUCCUCUUAUAUUCAUUCUCUUUUACUUAUAAAAUUUCAACUUUUUUAUUCAUUUGAGCGUCAUAAAGACUUUUAUAUAUGAAUAUUUUUUUUGUAUUUCAACUCUCAAAAGUACACGUUAAAAACUUCAAAGUCAUUCUGAUCAUGCCACAUGUCCAAAGGUCCACAUUCAUGAUCAGGUAAGAACAUUUAGCGUCAACAAUGAAGCUUGAUAAAACUUUUCCUUGACCUCACUUCCAUGGUCACUACCCAAAGUCAAGCCCAAAUUUCUCAUGAGAUGGAAUCUAACCCAGUAACGACCCUUAAGUAUAAAAUGCAAAUAUUAAUUUAGCAAAACUAAGAAUAGCACAGGUGCUAUGAUGCCGAGCUUGAAUCCCUGUGUGCUGAACAUCAAACGGACCUCCAAGAGCUUCCGUAGAAGUUGAACGACUUGGAGAAUGGAAAUCAACUCCUGAUAUUGGCUUAACUCCAGGGAAAAAGGCUCACAUAACUCCCAAAAAGAAUGCUUCCCGCCAACAUAGCAAGAUUCGCGUGAAUGCUGUGACCGAUCCCCUCGACAUAGGACUAAAAUAUAUCUAAGUAGGUCAACCUGAUGCAAAAUGAGGGAAACUCGCGGACAUUCCCGCCACCAAGAUGGAGUAACUAGCGAAGUCCCUAGAUUCCACGAGAUGUCCUGGUAGGCGAGUAAACCAGGAAGAGCGCCAAACUUCUCGUGUAUAUAUACGCAAAACAUCAAGAAUUUUCAUCAUUUCACAGCGUAAGUGGCUUGUGCUAGCAUCCCUAGAUGAUCAUCCAAAAACAUGACAAGACAAUUGAGCUCACCACACAUUUAAAGAUUUAUCUGAUCCAGGUCAAGUUUCAUACUCAAAAUAAAAAAAGUUUGUUGCAGAUUGUUUCCAACCAAUCUGGACAGAAUAACUUCAAACUAGUACUACAUGCUACCUCGUACUUGGAGGAUUCAUUUGAAGCGUUGAGCAUGUUUAGAGCUCGAUUUACUGAUCGCAAAACAGUGACCACCAUGUCAACAUUUCAUGAGAGGUUCACCACUGCAACGACCACAAUCUCAUACCUCACUUUAUAUGUAUACACUAAUUGAUUUACAGUUUAUAGCCCAUACUCUUCUCAAACUCCCUCUUUAUCGAAAGACUGAACAACAUGGAUGAUCUUGGGAAAUAAGAGGCCAAAUACAUGACCAUUGAAAACAAGUUAAAAAGGGCAAAGAAGUCCAAUACCCCAUCAAGAUGGAAAAGUAGGAAAAAUAAUGCCUUUGAUCGAAUUACGACCUGAUACAACCAAUACACUCCCUAGAAUGCUAGCAAGGACACCAUACAUGUAACUUAGAGCUCACCCAUCUCUUUAAGCUUAGACAACCUUUCCCUAGGCGAUCCCACAAAAAAGUAAUCCUACCACUAGAGUAUAAGACACACCACCGAAGAAUACCAUCAUCAAAGGGAUCUUAUCAAAGAACUAGUCUAAUUUGGUGCUCUAGUCCACUUCAUUUAGCAGGAAAACAACGGUCGAGAAAGAGAACACAACAAAUUCCUUGGUCGAGGUCAGGAUAAAGAGGAAGACAAGAUUGAGGACAACCAAAUCAAGCCAACAUGAUCCUCUAAAUCCUAGGACUCGAACCCAUCCAAGAUUAUCAACCCACUCUUGCAUGACCAAUCAUUUGGAACUAGAUCAUUCAACCCAACCCCGCAAGGUAAGGGGUAGUUUUCACCAUCAUUGGAGGUUUUGUCGAGGGAGGAAGAUCCUAGGCAGCAUAUAAAAGAUACCAAAAGAGCAUCAACUUCAUAAGCCCAUUCCCGUCACGACACUUACCUUUUAUAACCUUUUUCAACGAGAACUUUUACUUGACCCAAAUCAAGACGAUCUAGUGAUUGCCACAACAACCAUCAACCAAUUGGCAAGUCCAUAAAAUCCUCAUAAACAAAGGAAACUCGACCAAUGUCUUGCUCUGACACGUCUUCAAGGAGUUGAAUAUCCCCAUCAACUUCAUUCAACUUAUCCAGAAUCUCCGCUUAAUUUUGCCAGAGAAUGGAUCCAAAGGAUACAUCAAUCUAUUGAUGACCUUCGCAACGCCAGAAGCCCAUUGCAUUGUGAAGAUAUAUAAUAUCUUAUAAUGGAUACAGGCACAUCUAUAAUAUCUUGGUUUGACAAAAAAAUGUUUUAAAAGCUUGGAACCAUCGUGUACACCCGGAACAUGAGAGUUAUAAUACAUAAAUAUAAUAAUUUGCUUUUUAUAUAUUAUUAAAUAUAUGGAUUGUAUAUUUAUGCGUAUACGAAGCAAGUUAAACAUAUUAUAUUUUUCUCUUACUCUCAUUAUUUGGAUUGUUUAAAUUAUUAUCAUUCAAUUUUUUUUAAGAGUACAUUUUUUCAAUCUUUUAAGUUAUAAUCAAGUUCAGAUGAAACAAUUUUAUUUGUGAAUAGUCUAUCUUUUAUAACUAAAUUAAUAUAAGUCAUUUUUAAAUACUAUUUAAUCUAUUCGGUAAAAUGAAUUAAAAAGCAUAAAGAUAGUAUUUUUAGCGUUAAAUUUUCAAUAAAGAUUUUAAACAUAAAAUAUAUUAUCUAGAUAAGGUAUUGUCCCAUAGGAAAAGAUAAGACCUUCAAUACAGAAUGUAGAAACUGAAACGAUUUCCAAAAUAAUUAAAAGGGUCAUUGUAAAACUUACAAAAAAAAUUUACUUAAAAUUUUAAGGUCAGAUUUAUAAUUAGAGAAAAUUAAAUGAAAAUUUAAAAGAUUUUAUAUCAUGUGAUAUAGAAACCUACAAAGAAGUAUAAUAAUGCACGAUCUCAUUCAUUAAAAAUCUCAAAUUCUCAACAAAAAAAUUCAAUAUUAAUUUUUACUGCGUACAUAAAUAUUAAUUCCUAAAGUAGUUUCAAUUUAAACAAAUUAAAGCUGUUCAAAAUUUCAGAGAAUGCAUUAAACUUUUGAACAAAUAAUUUAACAUUUAUUAAGGACAAAACCAAUUAAUACAUUUAAAAAAAGAAAUACUUAUCUGAUUGAACGCUAACCUAUAAAUCUGGACAUACAUAAAAUAUGGUGAAGGUUGUGUGUGGGUGAACUUAUUUAUACCAGUUCAUUUAACCCUCCCAUUGAAAAACAGUUUCUACUUGAACAUUUUUACCUAUGGUGUGCAAGAGUAAAAAAUUAUAAUUUUUUUGUAGUAAUAAUAAUAAUAAUUAAUAUGAUGAAUUGAAAGCGAUAUGGAAAUUUAAUUAUUAAAAAAAAUGUUUGAUUAAAUUUGUUGGCGAAAGUAUGUGAGGAUGAGAAAUCUACUUUUCUUUAGUUUCUCCCUUUCUCUUGUGGUGUGCGCGUGUCCAUCUAUCAAAAGGCAACAACUACCUCCUUCCUACUUAUCUACCCCCACACCCUUUCAAUGCUAGCAGCCUUUCUUCUAUUUAUAUACCCAACUUCUCUCUUCUUUUCUUUUCAUUCUCAAACGCUCUUCAAUUCUUACACACUGCCAUGGCUCCUUCUUUCGACACAAACACUCAAACAGUUUGCGUCAUGGACGCUUCCGGCCACCUAGGUUUCAACCUCGUCCAGAGACUCCUCCAACGAGGCUACACCGUCCAUGCCUCUCUCCAAAAAUAUGGUAAUCGAUCAUCUCUUUAACUCUUCAUGCCACACUUCCUUCCCUUCAAUUUCGAUUUCAAUUUCAAUUUCAAUCUCCUUUUCCUUUCCGAUCGUGUCUCAGGGGAUGAAGACCUAUUCAAUGGGAUUUCCACAGACUCUAAUAAGCUCAAGAUUUUUCGAUCUGACCCAUUCGAUUACCAUAGCAUAAUCGAGGCACUCCGAGGCUGCUCUGGUUUGUUCUACACGUUCGAACCUCCCCAUGACCAACAAAAUUAUGACGUAAGCACUAUUUUUCAUCUUCUUUCUUUAUGAGAUUCGUUAUAUUCCUCUCAUGCUAUCGCAAUUAAAACAAAAUAAUGAAAAUAGUUAAACCAUGAGAGCCUUUUGUGGGCAUUAAUUUAUUGGUGUAUGCAGAAUUUGCCUGAGAUGUUUCGUGGUGUGCUGGAAUGACCCUACUCAUGUGUGGGUUACUCGCCUCCAUUAUAGUCAAGUAAAUGGUGAAUUCGCCUUUAUGCUAAAUUAAUUGUAAUUAAUAGAAACCAAUCGUGGUAGUUUUGAUUUGGUUAUCCAUCUCAAUCACUUAAUAAUUCACUCAUGUGUCGUAAUCGUUUGUGCUGGUUAGUUUUCAGCCAUGUGCUUAUUUGCUUAUCUCAUUAAGUGUCUGAUCUUAUCAACAUCUUAUUCGUAAAUUAUUGCCAAUCAUGACGAAAUAUUGAUGCGGAAAGGUUUACACUUAUGCUUGACGCUCAUACAGAGGUUCACAACUUGUUAAUAUAAAUUUAAAUUGCAAUAAUGCAUGAACUGAUCACUGUCUAUAUAUGUCAUUUUUCUAUUUUCUAAAGCAUAUUUUAUUACGUAUAUUUGCUCUACCAUAUCAGAACCUUCCUGUCAGUAAAUUAUAAAACAAAUCUGACUUAAAAAAAAAAAAAAACUUCAAUUCCAAAUUAGUUGUCCGGUGCAUUUAAUUUAUUGGCAAGCAUUUUUCGGAAAGUCUGUUUGACUAAAGAAAUAGUUUGGCAGAAAACUUAUUACGGUUCAACUGUUACCAGAGUUCAUAAAACGCGUUGAAAGUUUAUCUUUUUUAGGUGUUUCUACAUUUCUAUCAUUUGUUUAUCAUGAAUAAAAAAUUAUACGAACGUUUUAAAACUGAACUCUGUCAAGUUCAACGGUUUUAAAUAUUCGUGGUCAUCAAAAGAGCAUUUAAUUCAGUUUUUGAAAAGUAGUAAAUUUGGUUUGAGAUUUGUGCUGAGAGCAGAAGUGAUAUGUGUGGUAUUUGAAACGUACAGGAAUACAUGGCAGACGUGGAAGUAAGAGCUGCACACAACGUGUUGGAAGCCUGUGCACAGACAGAGACAAUGGAUAAAGUGGUUUUUACUUCCUCAGCAACAGCAGUAGUUUGGAGAGAGGAUCGCAAGAGCAUGGAACUGGAUCUGGAUGAGAGACAUUGGAGUGAUGUUAAUUUCUGUCGUAAAUUCAAGGUAUACAACGUCUCUUCGAUGCAACACUAAUAUUCUUUUAUUAUUUUUUAUUGUAAAAAUAGUGUUAAUUAGCCUAGUUUCAUGUUUGGGUAUGUUGCAUAAUCGAUUUAUAGAUGAUGAUAAUAAGCAACGUGCAUGAAUAAAAAUGUCGGAAACAAAAUGAGUUGUAAGGGAAGAUGGGAUACGAGGAAAAUGACAAAAGUGAAUAAUUGAAUGUUUUGUACAGUUAUGGCACGGUGUGUCGAAGACAAUGGCUGAGAAAAGUGCGUGGGCCUUAGCAAUGGACAGAGGAGUGAAUAUGGUGUCCAUUAACGCUGGCUUAUUGAUGACUCAUGAUCUCACCAUCCAACACCCUUACCUCAGAGGAGCUGCUGAGAUGUACGAGGAUGGUGUUUUCGUCACCGUUGAUUUACCUUUCUUGGUGGAUGCUCACAUCUGCGUAUACGAAGAAGUCUCAUCCUACGGUCGUUAUUUGUGUUUUAAUCACAUCAUCAACACCCAAGAAGACGCCGUUCAGUUAGCUCAGAAGUUGACUCCCGCUGCUGGUUCUUCCUCCUCAUCUUCAUCCUCCCAAUCGCCGCAAAGGUAGAGGACUUUCUUUUUUUUUUACUUUUUUUUUCCUUUUAAUAAUGUUGACUUCUGACAUAUUCAACUUUUUUAUUUGUCUGCAGUGGUGACCUCGGUAAGGGUUUUAUCGAACAGAAAAUUAGCAACAAGAAGUUGAACAAAUUGAUGGUAAACUUCGAAGCUUGAUUGAAGAGCAUUCACCUUGGAUGAUGCUCUGCGGGAGAGAGAGUAUUCGUGUGCAAAAUGUAACAGAAAUUUGUACCUAUAAUACCCUCAUAUUAUUAGUAUCAUUAUACACAUUAAUGUAUUUUCAAUCAAAUAAUCAUUUCUUAAUUUGUUUUAAUAUUAUAUAAUGUAAAAUAUUUUCCUCUUUUUAAAUUCUCUUUGCCUCAUGCACCCUCCAAUUUUUCACCGCUGAGUCACAAGAGUGUUUAUGUUUAUAAAACAAUUUUAUUCUACGAAAAUCGAAAACAUCAUUCCGAAAAUAAAAACAAUUGAAUAAAGUGAAACUAAAUCGAUUUGUUUUUUUUUUUUUUUAAAUUACAUUGUUUUUAUUCUAUUGAAUUAUAUCUUCGUUUUAAAAAACAAUAAGUGAUCCAAACCAUGUUUGUAUGCAUUUCUAUGAUUUCAGUCAUAAUUUUAUAAAAAAUUGAACAAUGUUUAUAUUUUCAUUUUUUAUAUAAUUACAAAAUCAUCGUAUAACUUAUACUUAUUUAUGAAAAAUAUAUUUAUUCAAGAUACUCCGCUACUAACUAUUCGAGUGAAGGUGUUUAACUGUAAAUUUAUAUGUGAUAUAUUAUAUAUUAAAAAUGUACAAAAAGUUAUAUUAUUAUGUCUUGUAUAAAACAAUGUAUGAAAAAUAUAUUUAUUAAAGAUGAUUGCAAUUUGCUUGCAUAAAAAAUGCCAAAAUAUUUCAAAAUUUAUACAAUCGAACUUCAUCGCACCACAUUAUUUUUCAUUUUUUUAUUGAAACUUUUAACCUACAUUUUACAAAAUUUACAAUUUAAAUAAUACUUUAUUUAAUUAUUGAUAGAGAUACACAUUUCUAAGAUAUAACUAUAUUAUUUUAUUUUUAUGAUCCAAAAUGUUAUUAAGAUCUAAAAAUUUUAAAUUUUACGCCAUAUUAUUAUACUUUAAUGGAACUAAGUCUUAAAUUUAUGAUUAUGUAUAUGACUUAUAGCAUUUUUAAUUAAAGUGUCAAAUUGAGUCAAUCUAAUUUAACUGGAUUGACAAAUUGAAUUAAAAAUGAGUUAGUUUAACUUGAUUAUUAUUAUUUUUUAAAUUAAAUAUUUUGUACCAUUACAUGAAUUAAGUUAAAAAUAAAUCAAUUUAAUUUAAUUUACUUUUGGUUGAAUAAAAAAUUUUAUUGACUUAUCAUAGACUAAAUUAAUAGAUUCACUUAUUUAAAAAUGUUUUAUUUUUCUAAUCGAAUUAAGUAAACACAAUUUAUUUUGACUUAUAUGCUAAAAAAUAUUAAUAUUUUUUUAAUUUAAUUCAACUUGAAUCCGUAGGAUGUUGAAUUGACUCAGAAGUUUAAACUUAUUUUGUAAUCUAUAUCACAAAGUUUUAAACUCAUGAUUCUGUAAAUGACAUAUGGAAUGGAAAUAUUCAAACAAUUAAAUCACUAAAUUCCCAACAGUAUGACGGAUGAAAAAAAUAUAAUUAACUUUUUGGAAGUUAUGAAAUGUCUACACAAAUCUCGUACUGUCACCAUUAUAUUUAAUUGGUUUAGAUCCAAUCGAAUUUGACUUGAAUUUGAAUAUUAAUAAGGCUCAUUCAAACCCCCCAACGUUGUGUGGUGCUUUGUGAAUAGGAUAAAAGUAAAAGGAACAUUUAUUUUUCACCUACAAUGACAUGGGAGAGUUAAGGAGUUGAAAUAAUAGAAUGACCUUUAAUUGGAAAACCCUGAAUUGAACCAGCAAAUGCUUUGCUGGAUUAUAAAUCCAUGUCGGUGGACAGAGGUAGAAGAAAAAAUACCAAAGCUAAACCUAGGGCUGCAUUGCAUUAUAUGCAAUAAUACAUGGUAGAUAAAAAUACCUUUUUCCUCUUUUGGGUACCAUAGCACACUAAUUAGAUAAGAAAAUACAUUACUUCUUCAACGUUGACUCUAAACUAUGUUCUUCAACUUACAACGUCACUAAUUAGACGUCAGUUAAAGGGGAAAGCGACGUAAAUUAUUGACCGGUAGCAAUUGUGUAAAUAAGUGAAGCAUAUAAACGUUUGUUAGGUGGGGAGCCAACGUCUAUAAUACUAUAAACGUCAGUACCCCUAGAAACUGACGUCUAUAUGUUUAACAGGUAAGUGAGAAAUCAUUUCUUUCCGUCAUAUGGACAUCAGUGCUCCGUCUACCCGACGUCUAUAAUCUGACAGCAAGGUGGAAAUUUAAACUUUUGCGCUAUCUAGACGUCUGAUCUUGCCACCUAACGUCUAUAUUUGAUUAUAGACGUCGGUGCCCCGCAUACCCGACGUUUAUAGUCUGACAGGUAGGUGAAAAUUUAAUUUUUUCCGUCAUCUAGAUGUAUGAUCCCCGCCACCCGACGUCUAUAUGCGAUUAUAGACGUCAGGGCCCCCAUACCCGACGUCUAUAGUCUGACCGGGUAUGUGAAAAGUCAUUUGUUUCCGCCCACUAGAUGUCUCGUCCCGCCAAGGCGACGUCUAUAUAUAACAAAAAUAUUAAUUGCCCGACGUAUAUGCAAUUAUAGACGUCGACUUUGUGGGCAACUAACGUCUAAUUUCUUGUUAAAUGGUGCGAACCAGCAUUUUGAUCGUCUUCCUUCGUCUUUUCUCUCCACUACACUGCAUUUCCAGGUCCGUUUGAUGUUUUGUGAACCAUUUAAAGUUGUUUUCACUCUGUUUAAAGUAAUCUUUGAUGUAUUAUCUUUCAUUUGAACUGAUUAAAAUGAGUUUUCGUUGUGUUUUGGUGCAGUUUUUCUUGUGUCUUUGGGUAGCGUAGUGCACCUUCUCCCUUUGCUAUUUUCCUCCUAAGAAAAACUUACGAUUUUUGGAUCUCUUAUGGCAUUUCAACCCGAAGUCGAAUCUGGGUCCUUACAUAGUGCCAUUUCCGCCACCAAUGCAAAAGAAAACGGUGUAUUCUCACCGUAUUCUUUUUCAUUGGCUCGAAGUGGACCUAGGCAACGACCCAGGUUCAUCUUUGGGUUGAAAUGCCAUAAGAGAUGAAACAGAUGCAAUUUUUUCUUACGAGGAAACUAGCAAGGGAAGGAGGUGCUACUACGCUACCCAAAGACACGAGAAAAACUGCAUCAAAAUACAACGAACACUUCAUAGACGUCGGUUAAUGUUUUGACCGACGUCUAUAGUGCCUAUAGAUGUCGGUUAAUGCAAUGUUUGACGGAUUUAUAGACGUCGUACGUGUCACUGAACCGACGUCUAUAAUGACAUCGCACCUGUAGAAAUCUGACGUCCCAUUAACGUCACCCGUAAAAACGUUGGUUCGGGAGGUGACGUUAAAAGUCCAAAAUAACUGACGUCUAAAGCCCUUUCUGCACUAGUGUAUCUUUAAAGAAAGGCCAUAUUUGGAAAUGAUUCUCUUGCCUAUUUUUUUCCUCGGUUCUUCUCACCUAGACAUAACCUGUCUGUAUGUGACUGAAAUGAUUUGAACGAUUGGCUCAUUUCCAAAUUGGUUUCAUGCAAUUAUAUUAAGAUUAGAUUCAUAUAAGAAAAUGAGUAGACGAGGAAAACAUAAAGAACGAGAAUAAGCAUAAGAAACUUUAAAAACUUGUAUGAGCAAUUUCUUUGGCUACCAAGAGUUUCCAACCAUAGGGUAUCAUAAUUCAAUAUUUCAAGUCAAGGGUUGCAAUGGUUUUAGAAACGAUACUCUUCCCGCAUAUAAUUCAAUAUAUCCGCAGAUAAAAUCUACGACAGAUAGUUGAUACCCACGGAUAUUUACUAUCCCCGCAACCCGCAGGUAAUGGAUAUUUUAAUACUCGCUUAUAAACGGGUUGGGUGCGAGUAUUGUAUUAUUUGUAAUAAAUAAAAAUAAAAAUUUAACUUAUAUUUUAUUAAGUUAAAUAUAAUUAAAAUUAACAUUAAUUUAUAUUUUAUAAGAUUAAAUUUAAUUAAACUUGAAUUUUAAUUUAUAUUUAAUUUAAUUUAUAUUAUAUUUUAUAUAUUUUUGUAAUUCUAUUUAAAUUUUAUUUUAAUAAUUUAUAAAAAUAUUUUUUUAAAUAUUUGCGGGUAUAUCGCGGGUUUUAAAAUACUCACAAAUAUUUUUUAAACGGACCAUACAAGUAGCGAGUCAGGUAACAAGUGAAUUUUUUUUGUCGAGUUAGAUGACGAGUAAAUACUAUUCAUACCUGACCCGACCUGUUGUGAUUUCUAACUGGAAACAAUGAUAAAAAAACUCAAUUAGACUUUUAAAUGUCUGAAUAUAAAUCUCUAUCUUGUUAUAACUCAAAAAGGAAAAAAAAGAACCCUAUAUAUAAAGUUCCUUUAAGAAAGGAGGAAAACUGAAAUCCUAAUUAAUAGAUCUAACUUAUUAUGGUAACUAAACAAUAAUCUAACCGAUUAUUUUAAUUCCAAUAAAAGGCACAAAUAUGACUUCUACAAUGAAUUGUUAAUGCUAUAUUACCACAAUUCACAAUUCAAUAAAUAGAAUGAGUAUAAUAUACAAUAAAUGCUUAUGACUCUAAUUAAGUGAUAUUACCAUGAUUGUUAAAUGAACGUGGGUGUUACUUCUAAAUAAAAAACAGGGAGUUUUAGCACUAGUUAGAAAGUAAUUGAUGUAGAAUGUAAUCAUUUUCUAUAUUUGUUUGCGAGUAAAACUAAUAUAAAAUGUUUUUUCAAUAUUAUUUCGUUUAGGUGUUUUUUUGUCUUAAAAAAACAAUCUGUUUUAGCACUUUCCCAUUUAUUAGAGUUAAGAUAAAGAAAAACAUACGCAUUUUAUAUCAUAAAAAUAAUAAUAAAAUUAAACUUUGGUUUUUAAAAUUAUUCACCACCCACAAGAAUCUCACUUUCUUUAUUUCUUUUAAUGUAUAAUCUCGACAUGUGAAUUCUCCAUUAGUUACCACUAUAAUUGAUAUAAUAUGCUCUCUUAUAUUUACUAAAAUGUUAUUGUCUCUCUUUGGACAAUGACUUUUUGUUAAACUAUAUAAUGUUUGCAAUGUAAUAAAGUGCUUUUUUAUUAGUCGAUGAUAACACCUGCUCCUUGGCACCCUUCCUAAAACUUGAGAUUAAAUUAAGAUCUAAUUACUAAUGAAAUGUAUAAACAUUUGGUAAUAAAUUUCACUAAUUCACGUACAUUUCCAUAACGAGUUUUUACAUUGUUUAUUUUAGACAUUUUGCUUUGGUUGUACGAUGUAGAAAGUAAAUAAGUUUUAAUAUAUGAUAUCUUAUGUAAAAGUGUAUUUUAACAUUGGUUUUAGAAUGUAAUUAAUGUGAAUAAAUCACUUUUUGCAUAUGUUAUUAAAGAAUGUAAUUGAUGUAAAAUCUAUCAUUCUACAUAUUAUAUAUAUAUAUAUAUAUAUAUAUAUAUAUAUAUAUAUAUAUAUAUAAUAUGAAGUUCUCAUCAAAUAAAGAAUUAGACAGAAAACUUCAUAUUUAUAUAUUUCAAAAUGAUGAUAAUAAUUAGAGAUGCCAAAAAAACUAUACUUACAUGCAUUUAUGGAUAAAAUUUAUAGUGCAAAAGAUGGAUAUUAUAAAUGAGUAUAUGGAGAUAAUGGGCAUUAUUAUUUUCUUAUACUUACAUGUUAAAGAGACAGGUAUGGAUAUCAUAGUAUCCUUAUCCGUGGAUACCUGUAUCUCAUAAUCUCUAAAAAACUUCUAUAUUGUAAUAAACAUGAUUUAAUAUUUAUAUUUAUAAUUUUAUUUGGUCUUUGCUUAUAGUCAUAUAUUGUAUUUGAUUUGAAUUUAUUUGGACGUUGUUAUCUUUGAUUAAUGAUGUAAGAAAAAAUUCAUUUUUAACUUUAGCAUAAAAGAAGCAAUUAAACAAUUCUAUUUAUGGUAAUUCUAUUCGAAGACACUUCCCGACAUUAAAUAAUAAACAUGUAUGUAUAUAAAUAUUUGGUUAAAGAUAUAAAGUUGUGAUAUUGAAAGAAAGUAACUCCUCCAUUGCGUUGGAUUUGCUUUGGAUAGGACUACAGUAUUCGGGUUGGACAUACUCCAACACUGCACUCUGAGUGAGAUAUUUGGAAUAUAUAUAUAUAUAUAUAUAUAUAUAUAUAUAUAUAUAUAUAUAUAUAUAUACAAAAGUUUUUUUUUCCGUCAACAUCAAAAUUAUUAUUAACGAAACUUCUGUUAUCAUAUACUUAAUAUUAUUUAGUAAUUGAUAACUUAAAUAUAUUAUCUCUUUCAAUUCUUUGAAAUAUUUUUUAUUUAUUAAUAAUAAGUGGUUUGGACUUUUUAAAAUUCUUUUAUUAGUAUAAAAUUGGUAUAAAUUACUUAAUAACAAUGGGAUUCAAUUGGUUUUUUUAAUCGAUUGAUUAUUCGUUUAAAAUUCCAAGUUAAAUAUGGAAUUUAUAAUUUAUUGCUACUAGUGUUUUUAGUUUAUGUACAUGAAUUAAUUCUAAUUAGAUAUUAUCUUAAAAUACGUUGAGAUUUAGUCUUCUAAUUUAAAUCAACUAAAAAAAGUGAGUUAGUAAGUGUAUUUUGAUUUGACCAACGCACGUCCACUUUGGUUUUCGUUUUUGUCUUAAAUACUAACAACUUAUAAUCACCAACUAUACGUAGAAUCCCUAAAUUUUGUUUUAUCAAUUAUUGUUAUUUUUGCAUAAGUAAUUUUUUUUUUCUUUACCAAAGUCGUUAUUUAUAUCUAUAUGAUUAAAAAUUCCGAUUCUAGGAGUUGGUCCCCAUCUCUUGUAAUGUAUAUUAUAUUUUGAAUAUUUUAAAUAUUAAGAUAAUUAGGUCAAAUAUUUCUGGUUGGCAGUUGAUCUAUAAAGAUAUUUAAUAUAUAUAAUAUUUAUUAUAAGGAUAUAUAGUGGUAUGUCUUCUCUAUUUUUGAUAAGAUAGUUUAGUAUUAUCCUUUUGUUAUUAUUUUAAAGAUUGUAAAUAAUUCUCACGGUCCAUCUUUCAUAUUAAUUAAUUAAUAAUUAUUUAGAAUAUAAUAUUUUUCUAGUAUGAAUAUUUGCAAAAAUGUAAGAGAAAUGAUACUUUAAUCCACAUAAAUUUUUUACACUUAUUUAAUAUUAUUUUUUUUAUUUUUUUUAAUAUAUAAUUUUUUUAUAAUAAUUUUAUUUUUAGACCGGUGGUUCCACCACUCCCAGAAGAAAAAUAUAAACACGUAGUGUAAAGAGUAUGACUUUAUUGAAAAUAGAAACCAAAAUAACUUCUUACAAACUUCCAUCAAUUUCUUAAUCUCCAUUGAAGAUAUAUAUAUAUAUAUAUAUUGAGAAUGGUAGAAAAGUUGAGUGAAUGAGAUUUAUCGUAGAAAGUGUUCGGACAGAAGCUGGUCCUCCUCAUAAGGACCCGUUCAAUGCGAACCACAUGAUGAAUAUCACCAUCUUCUACUCCUAAAACUACUCUCACUUUUAACUCUUUCAUUCUCCACAUUCCACGCGUAACUCUAACCAUCUUAUCCUCAAAAAUAACUAAAACAGUAUAAAAAAAUAAAUAAACCUUUACGUCCACUUCACCCCACUUUCACACAUGCAAACAACCAACUAUGUCUUCACCCAAAUCAAAGCAGAGAACUACAAAGUGCCACCACCGCCACCACUUCCACCACUGCCAUCUCUGUCGCACAUCACCCCGGCGACUUUGAUAUUCUCCACCAUGGCAGUCGCCGCCUUCUGCUUCAUAGGUGUCGGUGUCGUCUACUUCUGCAAGUGCUGUUUCAAGAACAUCUCCCCCACUAACACAAUCGUUCGUAUCUCUCCUCCCGACUCUCCCCACAGAGGCCUCGACCCUUCUCUGCUAAGGAUGUUCCCCACGUUCCUCUACGCCACCGUCAAGGAUCUCCGCACGGAGAAGAAGUACUCACUCGAAUGCGCCAUUUGCUUGCUGGAGUUCGACGACGACUGCAUUCUGCGUCUCUUAACACCCUGCUGCCACGUUUUCCACCAGGAUUGCAUCGACUCCUGGCUCCGAUCACACAGGACUUGCCCCGUUUGCCGUACGGAUCUCGAUACUCAGGCAAGUAACACCGACGCGCAGAGACCUGAGCAAAACGAGGAGAAUAUGGAGCACGAGAUAAGCGAUCACGUGAGCGUUGAUGUGAAAGAAGGCGAUGAUGGAGACGAGAGACACGGUGAUGGUGAUGAGGGAGGUUCGAUGAAUGUGCGCAUGCAGCGAGACAAGUUUGCAAGUGCACGUUCACACUCGACGGGGCAUUCCAUAGUUAUGGUUAAUGACGACAACGACGAUGCUAAAUACACUCUGAGAUUGCCCCAAGAUGUGGCUUUGAAAAUUGUAAGAGGGCAUCAUCACUCCAAGAGUUGUUCUAGUUACAAAGACAUGGCAGGGCCUUCUUUUGCACCUUGUAGUAACUGUGGUUAUGUUCAAACUCUUCUUCAUAGCUCCAGUAAUGCUGUAAACAAUACUUAACAUCGUUAUUUCGUUCCUUCUUCACCUACUUCUUUUUC
RNAcentral lists this long non-coding RNA (46768 nucleotides) under Vigna radiata. RNAcentral's name for it is "long non-coding RNA (VRAD_LNC011002)". The record is from RNAcentral. Lineage: Eukaryota; Viridiplantae; Streptophyta; Magnoliopsida; Fabales; Fabaceae.